Molecule: long non-coding RNA, 67227 nt
Filed under: Olea europaea (common olive)
Lineage: Eukaryota; Viridiplantae; Streptophyta; Magnoliopsida; Lamiales; Oleaceae
Description: long non-coding RNA (OEUR_LNC010813)
Source: RNAcentral
CCUUCUUAUUAAUGUUCUCUUCAUUAGCCUCAGCCUUUUUUCUCUUAAGCAAAUCAACCACACCUUCAAGUGCUGGUUCAGCAUUCUCAUUUCUCAUCAAGUGUUCUGCAAUUUCUGCUGGAGUGACUUGUACUUCCUGGAUUAGGUCCUUUAUCUCGGGAAAAAGCCUCGGAUGAUCAUGGUUUGCCAAAUAAUUCAAUGCCAGGACGUCGAAUCCAGCAGGCGUACAGUAAGACAUGUGAAUGUGCAUGUCCAUUCGACCGGGACGUAACAAGGCAGGAUCGAUCUUCUCCUUGUGGUUCGUUGUGAAAAUUAUGAUGCGUUCGUCUCCACAAUUAGACCAUAGUCCAUCCAUGAAGUUGAGCAAACCCGAAAGAGUUAACUGCAUAGAACAUGAACAUCAAAAUUUAUAAACUUCCUUUUAAAUCUAAUUUCUAAGUAGGCCUGAGCAUCAUUUGGAUUGAGUAUGUUUUGAGUUCAAUCCAAAACAUAUGGAUUUAUGUUUAUGUUUUUAUUAUUUUAUUUUUUAAAUUUAAAAAUAUGAAUUUUAACAGGGGACCAAUCCAAUUCCAGGCAGCGAACACCACCAAUAGCAAGCAGAGAAAUAAUAUAGGCAAAGGAAUUAAUCAAAUUCUGCCAUGAAUAAAACUUGUAAAGGUCCACUAACCUUAUCAUCAGAAGGUUCAGGCUCAACAUCCCGGUUGAGCAUGGGAGCGUUGCAAUCAAUAUCUUCAAUCACAAUAAUCGAUCGAUUGGCAGUCGAAAGCAAAGUCCUUUUCAAUUCAGCAUUUGAAUAUAAACUUGUAAGCUCCAAAUCAUAGAUAUCGAACUUCAAGUAAUUCGCCAUCGCUGCAAUCAAGCUCGAUUUUCCAGUCCCGGGAGGCCCAUAAAGAAGAUACCCUCUUUUCCAAGCCUUUCCUACUUUCUUAUAAUACUCUUUUCUCCUCACAAAUCUGUCCAAAUCGUCAAUAAUUUGUUCUUUCAAUUGUGGGUUCAUUGCCAAUUUCUCAAAAGUCACAGGAUGAUCCAAAUUCACACAGCCCCAAACCCCACUUACAUUUCUCCCAUCAUCAUCAUCAUCGGAGUCAGAAUAUGGACAAUCCCUUGUGUACAAUUUCACAUUCCUGUCUUUUUCCCUAAGUUCUUUGGCCUUUUGCAUAACAAAAGGCAAAUACUCCUUCAAUACGGUUUCUCUAUGCUGCUUAUCAAAACUGAGUUCGAAGUACCUUUUUUCCGACUGGAAACGAUUUUUUGAAUUUUCCGGCACUUCCAAAACAAACUGCCAUGUGAGCUCAAUGUUGUUAUAAGUAUCAGUUACAACUUCAUCCUUCUCCAUACUUAAACUGAUACUUUUCUUCUUGGGAUUCUUGCUUACCUUGAAUCUCUUAGUAUUUGGGUUGAUUUUCGUGUGUAGAUAAAUCUCCGCAGAUUCGUAGAUUUGGUUGCGCGUCAUGCCCCUGUUCUCGUCCACCACCAUCGUGAUUUGGGUCGAUAACGGAGCGAAAAAAUAGCUGAAAAUCCGAGUGAAAGCAGAAAUAAUGUACGAUUUUAAAGGCUCGGGGAUAACAUCAUGUGCCAUGGAUCGGAACAGCAUCAUUGAUGCUGCAACAGAUGCGUAGGCUGAAAAUAUAUUGGAAGCCAUUGAUUGCACUUCACCAAAUGACUGCAUAUUUCACAAACAAAAUAUUUUGGAUUGAUUUAUUGAAAGAUUCUUGUUUGCCUUUGAGAAUGGCAGAGAAAUUGAAAUUCGAAGCUAUGGGUUAGCCCCCUUUGGCUCCCAUUUUAUAGAGUUGAAAAUAGGUGGAAUAGUAUUUUUCUGAAAAAUGAGUGGUUGAGAAAAAAAAUUCGAUUUAGAUAUAAUAAUAUUUUAUAAAAAAUUAUAUGAUUGAAAAUAAGAGAAAGAAAAAUAUAAUAUAAUAUAAUAAAAAUUAAUGGUUACGAAGAGAUGUUUCAGUGGGUUAUAUAUAAGAAGAAUAAUGCUAUUCGAACAGAUUCCUUUGCACAGAUGUUGAACAGGUAAUAAAAAAUUAAUAAUGGACACAUCAAUGAACAGCAAAUAUGGCCCAUUAUUUGAAAUUUUAUUUUAAUAGUUAAAAAGGUAGAAAAAGUUUUAAGAUUAUGUUUAAUAUUAUUUUAUAAGAGAGAUUUGAUUGAUAAAAAGAAGAAAAAUAAAUUAUAAUUUUAACGAAUCAUGCAGAGAUGUCAGAUGUAUGACGUGAGAGAGGGUACGGUAGCAGGCAGUAGAGACGUAGCGAAGAAGCAGAGGACUUGAGAGGAAUCUGAAGUAAGGUCUUUUUUUAUUUUAUUUUUUUUGCCGACUUCAAAGAAUUUGGACUUUCUGGGAACUGUAGAGGAUUGGGCAGCACGCAAGUAACUUUUUUUUAUAAAAUAAAUAAAGGGAAAUAUUUGGGUUGGGAUAUAACCUGUUUGAUAAAAAUUUAAAUUUAAAUUUAAAUUAAUAAUAUUUUAAAUAUAGUAGUAUUUAUAAAUAAUUCUCAUAUUCAUACAGUCCUAGCCCUUGUUUGAGCCCAAUUUUUUUGGAAAGAAUGAAUUUUUGAAUAGUGUAUUGAUGAAAAAUGUAUAAUUAAAAAAUAAGAAAAAAUUUUAGAUUACGUGUAAUAUUAUUUUAUUGAAAAAUGUGUGGUUAAAAUAAUAUCAAAACACUAUUAAAAAUGUAUUUUUACAAAAGAAUGGGCCUCAAACAAGGGCCUAGUCAUUAUAAUUCUUCUAUUCCAUGUAACUCUAAUUCUUUCAUAUAAAUAUGAAAAUACGAUUCUUAAGAAAAUAUCAGCUUGUUUGGGAGAGAUUUUUUGUCCCAAAAAAUUGAUUUUUUUACUUUUAUUUCACUAUUUCAGCCGUCAUAUUUGAUUUUUUCUCUCACAAAUGGAUCCCAUUUUUCUCCUAUCGAUAAAAAACUUAAUUCUCAAAAUCACUCCCAAAUUCUAUUUUUUUCUCUUUUAUUUUUAGUUUAUAAAACGUUAUCAGCACGAUUAUAUCAAAAUCAAAGUAAAUUAAUUAAAAAGUAAUAAUUUUUGGCUAUGUUUUGAGCCACAUUUUUAUCAAAAAAAAUAUAUUCUGAAACAAUGAUUUGAUAUCAUUUCAACCACACAUUCUUUAAUAAAUAAUAUUACACGCAACUUCAAAAAUUUUCUUUAUUUUUUAAUCACACAUUUUCCAUCAAUACACUAUUUAAAAAUAUUUUCUUAAAAAUAUAAUGUGUCUCAAACAAGGGCUUUAUAAGCAUAAUCAUCUGUCAUGUGUAUCAAAAUUAAUUUUUAUAAGCACAAUCAAAAGAUGCUAUGACAUUUGAAUUUUUUUUUUUCAUUUAAACGAUCGGUGCUCAUUUUAGACUCCUUAACUCAAAUUCUUUCAACUAACGCUAUGAUUUAAAAACUCCAAACCAUCACACUUCUAUGAAAACAAGAACUAACAUUCUCAUCCCCAAACUGAUUUAUAGCAAUUUGAUUUCUAUAUGAAGGACUUGGAAAAUUUAUAUUCAAACCUUGGUCGACAACAUCAACAAUUAAUUCUACUUAAUUGAGCCAUGUCCCAACAUAGCCAUGUCCCAACAUAAGUGAUAAGUCAAUAUGACUAUAUGCUCAAAUAAUCAAAUUUAACAUAAUUAAGUUUUCAAGUAAAAGCAUAACUUAUGAUGUUGUCCAGCAUCUAACUAAAUAUAUGUUCCAUUCAAACAAAUAAACAUCAUCGUAGGCGGCAAGUCAUCAGCGCUAACUAGACACUAUUUUUUUGUUUUUGAUUUUUUUUUAUUUUUGCAGUUAUAUAGACCCGAUUAGCAGUAGAAAAAUAAAUAUGUAUUUUAAGUAUCGUAAUACCUAUCCACUCCAAACUAAAAUAUUAUAUGAUUUCCAAUGUAAGAGCAAAAAUAAUCAAAGUAAAGGAGUAAGGAUUAGAAAUUCGUUGGGUAGAUGUUAAUAGAUAAAAGGAUCAAGCGGACCUGACUGGUAGAUAUCAUAAUAACCGCCACUUUUUCUUGUUGCCAGACUUUAAUUUGCUGUUCCAAGAGUAUAAAAUAAAUAUUAGUGAUAGCAUAUAAGGUUUAAAUAUUUGCAAUGAAUUCACAAAAAAUAAUAAUAAUAAAAUAAAAAAAAUUCUAAUCUUCAAACUUUUAGAAAAACUAUCUAACAGAGCAUACGUCCUCACAAAAUCCUAUGACCAGGAGAAGAUAAGUUUUUCUAAUUUGUUUGGAGAUUAAAAUCUAAGUGCAACCUCAAGAACGCAUAUCACAUCAAUGUAAGCUCAACAGAUGUUAGGAUGUUAACAAUGAGGCUAAGUAAAUGGAACUCAAUGUAUAAAAAUGCCUAGGUUACUAAUGUAAAUCUUAAAAAUACUACCUAAAAUAUGUUAAAACUCAUCUACAUGCAUGAGUUCCUAAAUAUGGUCAUAAAUGCUAAUGCAAUCCUUAAAAUUUUAUUUAUAAUGCAAUACUUAAUCAAAAUAAGUGAAAAGAGAUAGAGAAAUGGGUUACCUCCAAUUAAGAGCUUGAUUUUUGGCACAUGGGUGUCAUGGCACUUUGAAUAUGGCUUUGGAGUCCUACUUGGUUGGCUCAAUAUGACCUCGUUCCAUAUUGCAGCCAUCUGCCAAAUUUCAACCCUAUUUCUUCCAAGUAGUGUCACUUCACCUCAUCAUCUGUUUGGAACUCAAUGCGGAAUACCUCAAUCUCCUUCGAAUCAGUGAGAGUGGAUUGAGAAUGCAUAAUACAGGGCUCAUAAACGUUUGACGGGUUCUGCAACUUAAAAGUCGUGAAUUAUGCUAUCAACCACCUCAAUCCAGAAACAACUGUCUUACUCGGUAGGAUAUUUCAUUGCUUUGAAAACACUGGAAGAAACCUGCUUCUCCCCAUCCUCAGAAUUAAUUGACCUCGCUGCACAUCUAUAAGAGCUUUUGUAGUAGACAAAAAUGGUCGACUCAAUAUGAGCAUCAUGUCCUUGUCUUCUUCCAUAUCUAGAAUUAGGAAACCGCUGGAAAUAUAAGUUUAUUCACCUUUAACAAAACAUCUUCAAUGAUUCUUCGUGGAUGAGCGAGUGACUGAUCAUCCAGCUGUAGAGUUACCGUAGUUGCCUUAUGUUCUCCCAAUCCUAGCUUCUUGAAAAUAGAGAGUGGCACCAAGUUAAUACUUGCAUCUAAAUCACGUAAAACUUUAUUAAAGUAGCAAUUCCAUAUAGUGCAGGGUACAGUAAAACUCCCUGGAUCUUUUAACUUUGGAGGUAACGUUUUCUGAAUUCUAGCGCUGCAUUCCUCUGUCAAUAUCACCAUUUCUUACUCCUACAGCUUACGUUUGUUGGAUAGGACGUCCUUCAAGAAUUUGGCAUAUUUGGGUAUCUGGGUAAUUGCUUCAGCCAACGGAAUGUUUAUGUGAUGUUUCUUGAAGAUCUCCAAAAAUUUCAUAUAUUGUUAAUCCAUCUUAUACUUCGUCAAUCUCCAAGGGAAUGGAAUUGGGGGUUCGUAUGGAUUGACAGGAGCAGUUGCUUUAGCCUGUGUUUUAUUCGAAUUUUCUUUGGUAGUUGUUUCUCUAGUCUUUCAGUCUACUCCUCAUUAGCAGGAGGUACUGUUUCCUUGUCUGCAUUUGAUAUCUUCACUUUAUUUUCUGGUAAUUGAACCCCACUUCUUUUAGUAAUUGCUUGAAAAUACUCUUUGGGAUUCACUUUAGUAUUGCUUGGCAAAGUAUCUAGUGCCCUUCUUGUCAUAGAAAGUGCCAUCUGUCCCAUCUGCAUCUCCAGGUACUUAAUUGCAACACCCUAAUUUUGGAUAGUAGUUUAUCAGUUCUUUUCAUGAAUUUCGCAAACAUCUCUUCCAAUGGAAAUGUCUUCUCCUAUUGAAAUUAUCCCUGAGGUCUAUUCUGAUUUUGAUUUUAAUUACCACCCCACGAGAGAUUUGGAUGUUCUCUCCAAUCAAGAUUAUAAGUGUCUGAAGUCAGAUAGUUUCGUUAACGUUGUCCCCAUUGCGCAUACUCUACUUGUUCCGUUUCCCGUGACAGAAUUGGGCAUUCUGCUAUACUGUGAUUCGCUCGACAUUCUUUACAACUUGGUUUCCGUGCAUGUAUUGCAUUCGUUGACUCUAAUAUGCUUUUCACCUUAUGGAAUAAAGAAUCUAUUUUUGUAGAUAGGGCUGAAAAAGCAUCCAUUUCAAACACACCUAGCACCUUUUCUUGAACGGCUCAUUCUGAUGCCUACACGAAUGAAGUAGUAGCCACUGUUGCAAAUAGUUUCAAUGUUUUGUCAAUGGUUUUUGUUGACAGUGAUCCAUUAAACGAAGAAUCAACCAUACUCUUGAAGGAUGGUAGUAAUCCUGUAUUGUAACGACCCAGCCCGCAUGGAUUGAAACGUCCUAGAUUAACUGUACUUGAGCCAUAAAUUUGUUUAACUUGUUUUUAGUGGAAGAUAUAAAGAAUUAAUUUUUUUUCUUAUAAUUUAAUACUAAAAGAAAACAACAAUUUCAAAAAAAAUCAAAUUCAUUCAUACCGUAUAUGCACUUCAUAUGUUGGAUUAACGUAAACCAUAUAAGUAACAUACGGUAUUUUCAGCAUACUAUAUUUACAUUAUACUAUAUUUACAACAUACCGUAUUUGCAUCAUAUCGUAUAUGCAUGUAACCAUUAUUGACUUGAAAUUUUGCAAAACUUUAAAAGUAAUAUUGCUGUUUCAGUCUUUAUCUCAAACGAUAAUUAUCAAAAUAAAUUUGUUUGCAUAGCUCUCGAUCUCGAAACUUCAUCAAAUUUUAAUGUAAAGAAGAAAACUCCUUAUAAUAUGACAUAGUCAAAAACUAGCUUCCAUUGAUAUCAUAUGAUAUAUCAAAAUAUUUUUUCAAAACUCAGCAGCGACCCGGUUGGAAGGUAAACCGGUGCAGUUCACUUAAAAUAACAUAUAAAAUUCUACAGAUAUGAAAAUCAUAUAUUUCAAAUUUAUUUAGUAGCUAAUCCAUGAAACUAUUAAAUCCAAUUGGUUUCAUCCAGAAAUUUCAAGUAACGGUCGAGUUAUGAAUUUUUGAAGUCAAGAUAGAAGCUGAAAAAAAGAGGGCUCUACCUAGUACAGUUUACUUUUUACAACAUAUAAAAUUCUACCGACAUUGGAUUGAUAUAAUUCCAAGUUUGAUCAAUAGAUAACUUAUGAUGCUACCUAAUGCCACUAGUUUUGUAUAAAAAUACCAAGUAACGAAGGAGUUAUGAAUUUUUAAAGAUGAGGCACAAUCUAAAUUUUUUUAAAAAGACGGCAAAACUUUAAAUCGCUAACAUAUUUUUUGUAAACAGUGAUUUGUAAAUUCAUUCCUAUGAUACAUAUCUAAUUUCAAACAUAAUUUAUUCAUAAAGAAUGUUCAUAGAAUAGAUCCACUCACGACAUCCAUAGGAAUCUAAUUUAAAGAAAACGUAAACAUUUCAUAAUCAACUAAAGAUAUUAAAUCAUCGGUUUCUCUAUGACAUGUUUCAUCAUCCUUUACCAUCAUCCACGCCCCAAGAAAAAUCCAUUCAACCUGUAGAAAGGAAAUUAACCCAUGAGUUUGAAAUUUAAUAUAUAUCAUUGGUGCAUUUUGUUUUUAAAUUAAAAUUUUCGAACUAUAAAUUCAUCCAUCGCACGUAGAUGGAUUUCCAACAAAAUUCAAUUAUUAUAACAUUAUCAUAACAUCUAGAGCCGGAGAAUGAUCAUUCAAACUAUUAUAGUGCUGAAGCACAGUACCUGAAGGUACCAAUUCAUUCAAACAUUUAUCGAAAAUCAUAAUUUGAAACGAAGUAAACACUUACACCUCUACUUGCAUUAAAUUUUCUUGAAUAUCAAAGAACAAAAUAUAUAGAAAGUCUUUCUUCUUCCCACUUUUGUUAUUUCCUUAACUUAAAUUGACACGAAAUAUAAUUUUUUGAGAGAAAAUAAGAGGAAAUUCAGAUUUGAAGAUGGGUGUAGUAAAAAAGUGACCUUCCACUUUUUGUAACAUUCCCUUUUAAUGAAAAACUAAAUGGGGGGUUGUAUAUUCAUUAAGUUUGUUAAAUUUGAUCUUUAACUAAGAAUUUGGAGAGUUUCUAUGCCAUAAAAAAAUAAUUCAUAAAAAAUUUUUAUAAAAACAUCUACACGAUGAUUCGAACCUGAGUUGCCUAUAUGAAAUAUUAUGUAGAUGACCAUUGAGGCAACCCAGAUAUUCAUUAAAUCUUUGUAAUCAAAUUUACUUAAACUUAAUAUCUUAAAUUAUUGGGCUUUUACAAUCUUAAAUAGAUUGAGCUUUCAUAGCUCGUUUUUUGAAUGGGUUAGACUUGUGGUGCUAGAUCAUCAUAAAAUAAUUGCCUAAUUUCAUUUUAUUUCUCGGGCUUUUACAUCUCUUACACCUUAAAGAAAAUUUUGUCCUUGAAACUUACCUUAUGGAUUUUCAAAGAAUGUUGGAUAUUUGUCUUUCACUUAUUCUUCUCUUUCCCAAGUAGAUUAUUCUACUCCAUGCUUAUUCCAUCGCACUUUGACCAGUUGAAUCUCCUUGUUCCGUAAUUUAUAUACCUUUCGAUCCAGUAUCUUAAUUGGUAAUUCCUCAUAAGAUAAGUAUUUUUGUACUUUAUCGCACUUUGACCAGUUGAAUCUCCUUAUUCUGUAAUUUAUGUACCUUUCAAUCCAGUAUCUUAAUCGGUAAUUUCUCAUAAGAUAAGUCUUUUUGUACUUUUAAAGAUUGAUAAUUGACCACUUGAUCAGGAUCAUUCAUAUACUUUUUGAUCAUUUAUAUAUGAAACACAUUGUGAACGGCUGAUAGCUUAGGCUGCAAAGCCAGUUAAUAAGCCACAUUUUUUAUUCUGUCAGGUAUUUCAAAAGGUCCGUUAUAACGAGGUCAUAGUUUGCCUUUAUUGUUGAACUUAAGCACACCCUUUAGAAAAACUCUCUCUCUAACAUCAAAUUUCAAGUCUUUUUCUUGGUACCUGCAUAACUCUUUUGUCUAUCUUGCGUGACUUUUAUCUUGGUAAAAAUCUUAUCAAUGGCUUCAACUGUUCUUUCAAUGAUCUUUGGUCCCAAAACUCUCUUUUCUCCAACUUCAUCCCAAUGAACAGGUGAUCUAUACCUUCUACUAUAGAGAGCUUCAUACGGUACCAUUCUAAUAGUUGCUUGGAAACUAUUAUUGUAUACAAAUUCCACUAAAGGUAGAUACGAUUCCUAACUACCUCCUAGAUCCAAAACACAAGCCCUUAACAUAUUUUCCAAAGUUUGAAUGGUCCUUUCAGAUUGACCAUAAUAUCGAGGGUGAUACGCCGUACUGAAAUUCAAUUUCGUUCCCAUAGCUUUUUGUAAACUCUUCAAAAAGAUUGACAUAAAUCUCGGAUCUCUAUCAGACACAAUGGACACAGGGACACUAUGUAAUUUUACAAUCUCUCUAAUGUACAACUGUGCCAACUGAUCUAGAUUAAACGUCUUUUUACAGGAAGAAAAUGAGCUGACUUUGUUAGACGAUCCACUAUUACUGACUUUGUUAGACGAUCCACUAUUAUCCAUAUAGCAUUGUGUCCUCUUCUUGACUUUGGAAAUCCUACCACAAAGUCCAUUGCGAUAUUUUUUUCACUUCCAUUCAGGUAUGUCCAAUGGAUUUAAUAACCUUCCUGGUUUUUGAUGUUCUACUUUAACUUAUUGGCAUACUAUGCAUUUUGCCACAAAUAAGCCUAUACUUCCUUUCAUGUUCCUCCACCAUAAUGUAUCUCAAAAGUCUCGAUACAUUUUCGUACCACUAGGAUGUGCGGUGUACGAGGUGGAAUGAGCCUCCUCCAAUAUCUCCUUCCUCAAAACUUCAUCCUUAGGCACACAAAUUCUUCCUUUAAACAUUAGUGCCUGAUCAGAAGCAAUUUCGAAAUCCUUUCUCUUAUCAGUACCAAUCUCGUUCUUGAUCUUUUACAAAAAUGGAUCUUUACCUUGUGCUCCGAUGAUUUAAUCUCUAAGAGUGGGUCGAACCAUCAAAGUUGCUAAAUGAGCAUUGACUUGUUCUGGUGUGGUAAUCAUUUCGAUUGGCAAAUUUUUCAAGUCUUUGAUCAACUCCAUCGGAAUAGUAGGUAAUGAUGCCAACUGUUCUAUCGACUUUUCGCUUAGAGCAUCAGCAACAAUAUUAGCAUUACCAUGAUGUUAAAAAAUAGUACAAUCAUAAUCAUUUACUAGCUCCAACCAUCGUCUCUGUCUCAUAUUCAAUUGCUUCUGUAUAAAGAAAUAUUUGAGACUCGUAUGAUCCGUGUAAAUGUCACACUUCCAUCCAUAUAAGUAAUGGCGCCAUAUUUUUAAUGUAUGAACCACCACUGCAAGUUUUAGAUCAUGCGUCGGGUAGUUCUGCUCAUGUUACUUCAAUUGUCUUGACGCAUAGGCAACGACUUUUCCAUGCUGCAUCAGUACACAUUUCAAACCUUGUUUGGAUGCAUCACUAUAUAUAACAAAUCCUUCUGAACCUUUAGGUAUGAUUAAUACAAUUGCUGUAAUCAAUUGUUGUUUUAGCUUUUAAAAUUUGCUCACACUUAUCUGUCCAUUGAAACUUUACUCAUUUCUCUAUCAAUUACGUCAUUGUUCCAGCUAUUUUGGAAAAUCCUUACAUAAAUCUUCGAUAGUAUCCAAUCAAUCCCAGAAAGUUUCCAACUUCACCAGUAUUAGUCGGUGUCUUCCAAUUAGUUACCGCUUCCACCUUUACCGGAUCUACUUCAAUUCCUUAGGAAGUAACUACAUAACUGAGGAAUCCAACUCGUUCAAGCCAAAAUUUGCACUUUUUAAACUUGGCGUAUAACUUUUCCCUACGCAAUGUUUCUAACGCUAUUCUAAGAUGUUCUUCAUGUUGAUCUUUACUCUUAGAGUGAAUUAUAAUGUCAUCAGAUCCAUAAACACUGCCAGAGCAUUUGUCAGUUUGAAUGGCAUAACUGUGAACUCGUAAUGUCCAUAACUAGUUCUGAAAGCUGUCUUAGGUAUAUCACUUUCCUUAACCUUCAAUUGAUAUAUCCAGAUUGUAAAUCGAUCUUGGAAAAUACCUUAGCCCCUUUCAAUUGAUCAAACAAAUCCUCGAUUCUCGGGAGAGGAUACCUAUUCUUGAUGGUCAAAAGUUCAACUCCCAAUAGUCGAUACACAUCCGCAUACUUUCAUCUUUCUUCUUUACAAACAAUACCGGUGUGCCAUAUGGUGAUACACUUGGUCGAAUAAAGCCAAUGUCUAACAGUUCUUGUAACUGGAUUUUCAAUUCCUGAAGUUCUUUUGGGGCCAUUCUGUAUGGAGCUUUAGAUACUGGUGCUGCCCAGGAACUAAAUCUAUUGUAAAUUCCACUUAUCUAUCUGGUGGAAUACUAGGUAGAACUUCUGGAAACACAUCUAUAAGUUCUUGUACCACUGGUAUAUCCUCAAUCUUUAUCGUUGUCAGUUUUUCUCCAGAGAUAUUAACUAGAAAUCCUUGAGAUGUUUCAUUUCUCAGCAUUUUCUCGACUUGUAAGGCCGAUACUAGUCGUAGGUGGGGUUUGGUCUUUAUUCCAGGGAAAGAAAAUUGUUCCUCUCCUGGUUUCUGAAAAGACACUACACUUUCUCUACAAGAAAUGGUUGCAUAAUUAUAUCCUAACCAAUCCAUGCCCAAAAUCACAUCAAAGUCUUUUAUCUCUAUCACAUACAAAUUUGCUUCAAAUGUUUUUCCCUCAAUUUUAAGAUUCACCUUCAAUGUUUUGCCUGAGGAAACGCUAACUUCUAGUGUACUCUUUGAUUUAUCACAAUUAAUACUAGAUUUAGCAAUAAAAGAUUUUGAUACAAAAGAAUGAGUAGCUCCUGAAUUAAACAGUACAUAAGUAGGUGUAUCAGAUAUUAGUAACAUGCCUGCUAUCACAUUUGAGUUCUCCUUUGCAUUCUUCUGCGUCAUUGUAAACACUCGUGCUUUCCCCUUCUUGUUCUGAUCAUUGUUAUCGUCCUUCUUCUGAGCAAAUAUGGGUCAAUCCUAUGUCCUGCUUGCACACCGAAAACAUGCAUUCUUCCCAUACAAGUAUUCCCCACGAUGAGGCUUACCACACUUAGGACAUGGCGUUAUUGCAGCUACUAUGUCCUUACUAGCACUAGGUCUAGUAUUAGCCUUCUUAUUUUGCCAUUUGUCUUUUCUUUUGUCUUGACCAUUCCAUUUUCUCUUUCCAACCUGUCCUUUGCCCUGCUGGUUGUACAAUUGAUGGUGUUGCUAUGCAUUUGCCUUUUGAUACCAAAUAGCGUGAGCUCAUUUCAAUAUCUCACGGUAUGAUGUGAAACGAUGUGACAUAAGAAUCAUACUUAGGUCUGUGAUAAGUAUGUUUUUACACAUUAAUUUGGUUCACAAACAUGACUUAAACAUGGAUAAAAUGGUUGAAUUGUGACUUAAUCUAGUUAAAUUCAUGUAUUGUAGGUAAUUCAAUGGAAUUUGUGGAAUUCAGGAAAAAAGAGCCAAAGAAGGACCAAAACGCAACAAAUUGAUAGUUCGAGGACCAAAUAUGCAAAUAUUGAGAAGUUGAGCUAAAUGCAAAAUGAGAGUAAAAACAUGCCAAGUAUGAGUUCAAGGACAAAGCAAAACAAGCGGAGGAAGAAAGAAUCGAAGAGGGACUGAAAUGAGGACAGUUAAAAGUUGGAGGACUAAAGCGCAAAUACUCAAAAGAUGAGCUGAAUGAGUGGCAAGAGAUUCGAUGGUGUCAAUCAUCAAUUGGAGGAUAACAUUUGUUGAAAAGAUGAAGAAAUCGAAGAAAGAAGUCAAUAGAGGCAACAAGGAAAGUUCAGGGACCAAAAUGUAAAGACUUCAUAGUUGGUUAGUCUAUGCGACCGCAUAGUGUAACCAUCUAUGCGGUCGCAUAGAUGGUUGCAGGAAAUUUUGGGGGAAAAUUUAUUGGUCUAUGCGACCGCAUAGAAACCUUCUAUGCGGUCGCAUAGUGAUACUUCGGGGGCCUCCGUUGCAGUUUUUUGUUUUUGUUGAAACUAUUUUCCUACUUGAUUUUGACGCGAUGUAAAUAUCCAAAAUCAUCAAAUUGAAGGAGGAACGAUCAGGGAGAAGAAAUACACUCAAUUUGAAGGCAAGAAACACAAUUUUGGGCUUGAUUUCACAAGGAUUCAAGAAGGAAUUGAAGAUUACACACAAAAUUGAAGGAUUAUCAUACGGGUGUAUUCUUUAUAUCUUUUAAUUUCGUUUUAAUUCUUGAUUCUGUAAUUAUGAUCAUAGGCUAGGGUUUUUAUUCAUUAGGAAAUCGAUGAACCUUUGAUUAUUUAAUCUCCUUUAUUUCAUAAAUUCAAUAUAAAGUUUUGGUUGGACAAUUGUUUGAUUUAUAUGAUUUGAUUGCUUCCAUAAUUAUUGGCCAUAUGUUAUGUGAGUUUAGAUGAUUUAUUCUUUGCAUUCGAAAGAAGGGGAAUAGAUUCGAUAUAAUAUAAAUUAACAUAGGGUUCGAUAGGGGAUAAAAAUAUACCCCUAUGCUUUGUGCAAUUCAUAAGAUGUUCAUAAAAAUUCAUGCAUUCUUGUAUAUUUGCAUCAUCCAUAGAAAUAUAGGCUGGUGGUAUGCAAGAGUAGAUUCAAUAUAUAUCGAGAGAGUAUAUUGGAUAGGUUUAGGAACAUUGAAUUGACAUUUUUUCAUCGAUUCGUUGAAUUUGUGAAAUUAAGGUUUUUAAUAGUCAAUUGGAGAUUCGAGAACCUAAUGAUUGCAUUUCAAUUUAUUUCUAUACAUUAACUUCCAAAAUUGCGUAUUUACAUUUUAAUUGAGUUUUUGAGUUAUUCAAUUAGUGAAAUUUCGAAAUUAGGGCUUCUAAUUUCGAAAUUAGGGUUUUCUUUAAAAAUUAGGGUUUCAAAUUGGGGAUUUCUCCCACAAUUAGGGGUUUUCACAUUUAAACCAAAUUUUCAUUCAAUCAGAUUCGGUUAAGGUCACAUUAGUCUAAUUAGAGCUAAUUCAAUCCUUGUGGGAAUGAUACUUGGACUCAUAGUCCAUUUUACUACUUGUUAACGAACCGUACACUUGCGGUGGGUUUUAAAAUUGAAAGAAAUAAUUUGUGAACAGUCUGGUUUUAACCCUUGCUCAAACAUUCAAGUCUUCUUCAUUUCCAUGUCCAACAGAUGUGGAGCAUACCUUGAGAGUUGGUCAAAUUUUCGCUCAUAAUCAGUUAGGGACAUAUUAGCCUACUUGAGUUGAAGGAAUUCGUUCUCCUUAAAAUUCCUUAGAGACUGAGGAAAAUACUUGUCCAUCACUUCCUCCUUGAAUUGUUUCCAAGUUAAUUCCAAUUGUUAUUUUGGAGUCCUAGUUCGGUACAUCGAAUCCCACCAAUGGCUUGCAUCACCGGUAAACAUAAACUCUGUACACUGGACCUUUUGGACGUCAGUGGAAUCGAUGAGUCGAAAAAUUUACUCUAACUUACGAAGUCAUUCUUCAACUACUAGUGGACCAGAUGCUCCAUUGAAGGUAGGGAUUUAUGCCUUCAAAAAAUUUGAUAAUUAAUUUUUUUAAUAAACGAGUAAUUUCUACUCAUUUCACUCUUGGUUUUCGUCUAGGUUUUCCUCUUCUUCUUUGUUCGUAUUUAUCACAAUUGACUCCAUCAUCUGAAGUUACUACCUAUUCGAAUCCCAUGUGGAAGAUAGCAUCACCAAUCUUAGUCUCCCAAUUAUAAAUAUAGGCAUUGCAAAAAUCUCAAAGUCAAGUUGCUUAGAUUCACUUUCCAAAAUUUGAGAUGGCCUAUUUUCUUAUAUAAGCUUUCCAAUUCGUUUCUCAUGAGGUGAUAGAGUUUCUAGCAAAUGACCUAUUACGUGUCAGUCAUUAAUCCUAGAAUCUCCAUUCUUUGCGUUUAGUCAAUGUUGGUACACAUUUCGUAUGGGAUUGUUAAGGUCUAUAAAUUCGUCUAUUUCAAAAUCUGGAUAAGCUCGGAUAUCUAUAUCCUAUUGACUAAUAUGGUUAUUUUCCUUGGGAUUUUGAUGUUCAUUUGACAUUUGUGACCCAAAACUUCAAGUUCUAGCCCAAUACAUGUCCUUUGAAUAACUUUUUUUUUUUCAAACUAAAUUUAUCAUUACAUAUAAGGUAUACAUAAAGAAAAAUAUAAAAUGUAGUGAAACAUGGAAAACAUAACUAUAGAAUCAUAACAUGUUUCAUAAGAAAAAAUUUAACUUUGCUUAGCUAAAUAUACUUGGGCCGUAGGAUGUGGUCGACUGAUGGAUAUGAGAUACCAUGGAGUGCCUUAAAUAUUUCAUUUUUCUCAUCUUUAAAUUUCCCACUUGUACAUAAAAUAAUAUUAUUUUAAAAAAACGACAAGUCUACAGAAUCGACUGAACUCGUGCUCUGAUACCACGCUGUAACGCCCCUACUCGUAUGGAUCGAAACGUCACUAAAUUAACUGUACUUUAUCUGUAAAUUUGUUUAACUUGUUUUUUGUGAAAGGUAUAAAGAAUUAUUUUUUUUAUAAUUUAAUUCCAAAAGAAAACAAUUUAAAAAAAAUCGAAUUCAUUCAUACCGUAAUGCACUUUACAUGUUGGAUUAAUGCAUACCGUAUAUGCAACAUACCGUAUUUAUAGCAUGCUGUAUUUGCAUCAUACCGUAUAUGCAUGUAACCACUGUUGACGUGAAAUUUUAUAAAACUUGGAAAGUAAUAUUGCUAUUUCAAUUUUUAUCUCAAACAGUGAUUAUCAAAAUAAAUUUGUUUGCAUAGCUAUCGACCUCGAAACUUCAUCAAAUUUUAAUGUAAAGUAGGAAACUCCUUAUUAUGACAUAAUACAAAAUUAUCUUCCAUCGGUAUCAUAUGUGGUAUUAAAAUAUUUUUACAAAAUCUAGUAGCGACCUGGUUGAUAGGUAAACCAGUGCAGUUAACUUAAAAUGACAUAUAAAAUUCCAAAAUAUCAAAACCACAUGAAAUCAAAUUUAUUCAAUAUCUAGUCAAUGAAACUAUCAAAUCCAAUUGGUUUUAUCCAGAAAUUCCAAGUAACGAUCGAGUUAUGAAUUUUUGAAGUCAAGGCAGAAGCUAGAAAAAACAACGACUCUACCUAGUGCAGUUUACUUUAUGCAACAUAUAAAAUCCUACUGAUAUCGGAUUAACAUGAUUCCAAGUUCAUUCAAUAGCUAACUUAUGAAACUACCCAACACCACUAGUUUUGUAUAAAAAUGUCAAGUAAUGAAAGAGUUACGAAUUUUUAAAGACUAGACAGAAUCUGAAUUUUUUUAAAGAGACAGCAAAAUUUUAAAUCGCUAACAUAUUUUUUGUAAACGGUGAUUUGUAAAUUCAUACCUAUGACGCAUAUCUACUUUUAAACAUAAUUUAUUCAUAAAGAAUGUUCAUAGAAUAGAUCCACACAUGACAUCCAUAGAAAUCUAAUUUGAAAAAACGUAAACGUUUCAUAAUCAAAUAAAGAUAUUAACUUACCCGCUUCUCCAUAACAUGUCGCAUCAUCCUUUACCAUCAUCUACGCCUCAAGGAAAAUCUAUUCAACCUGUAGGAAGGGAAUUAAUCCAUGAGUUUAAAACUCAAUAGAUAUCAUUGGUGCAUUUAGUUAUCAAAUUAAAAACUUCGAACCAUAAAUUCAUUGUAGAUGGAUUUUCGAUAAAAUUCAAUUACUAUAGCAUUAUCAUAACAUGUAGAGCCGAAAAAUGAUCAUUCAAACUAUUAUAGUGCCUAAGCAACAUACUCGAAGGUACCAUUUCAUUCAAACAUUUAUCAAAAAUCAUAAUUUGAAACGAAGUAAACACUUGCACAUCUACUUGCAUUGAAAUUUCUUGGAUAUCAAAGAACAAAAUGCGUAGAAAGCCUUUCUUCUUCUCACCCUUGUUAUUUUCUUAGCUUAAAUUGACAUGAAAUAUAUUUUUUUAAGAGAAAAUAAGAGGAAAUUCGAAUUUGAUGAGGGGUGUAGUGAAAAAGUGACUUUCCACUUCUUUUAACAUUCCUUUUUAAUGAAAAAUUAAAUGGCGGUUAUAUAUUCAUUAAGUUUGUUAAAUUUGAUCUUUAACUAAAAAUUUGAAGAAUUUCUAUGCCAUAAAAAAUAAUUCAUAAAAAAGUUUUAUAAAAACAUUUACAUAGUGAUUCGAACCUAGGUUGCCUAUAUGAAAUACUAUGUAGAUGAUCAUUGAAGCAACUCAGUUAUUCAUUAAAUAUUUGUAAUUAAAUUUACUUAAACUUAAUAUCUUAAAUUGUUGGACUUUUAAAAUCUUAAAUGGGUUGAGCUUCCAUAACUCGUUUUUUGAAUGAGUUAUGCUCGUGGUGCUAGAUUAUCAUAAAAUAAUUGUCUAAUUUCAUUUUAUUUCUCGAGUUUCUACGUGCAUAGAAAAUUGGACUUUGAGUUCCUUACUGAUCCCAUGAUGGGGGACACUUAAGAAGUAUGUUCUUGAACCUAUUCCAGGCUUCAUCGAAGGAUUCAGAGUCACCUUGACGGAAGAUAGAAAUGUCAUGUUUCAAUUUUGCUAUUUUGGCGGAUGGGAAGAACUUUGUGCAAAAUUUUUACGCUAAGUUAUUCUAGAUAGUAAUACUGGUGAUUGGUUGAAAAUCUAGCCACUCAAUUGCUUUGUCACGCAAGGUAUGUGGAAACAGUCUCAAUCUGAUAGCAUCAUUUGAGAGAUGCCGAUAUCUGAAGUGUUGACACAUCUUCAGGAAUUAAGAGACUUGCAUAUGUGGGUUUGAAUUAGUUCUAUAGUAAAAUUGAUGUCUAAUCUGAAAUAAGUGUAUGACGUUGGUUUUUAAUUGGAAAAUUGGCUAUCCAAACGGUAGAUACACAAUACUAGAUUGGUUUUAAAUGAUUUGUGGGGUCAUGAAUUUCACAAAAAGCAUAUUUCCCUCAUCCACAACUUCCUCUUCAUUAGCCCAAAUUAUAUGGUUGUUUUCCUCGUUAGCCAUUUGUCAUUGCCUUUUUUUUUUUUUUAAUCUUUUUGAUGUUUAUAUAUCCUGAAAAAGAGAGAAAAAGAAAAAAAAAACUAAAAUAGAACAAAAAUAACAAUACGAGAAUAUAGAUAGAAGUCCGAAUUAGUGUCAAGAUAAAUAAAAUCAAACUAAAACUCAAUUUUCGACAACGGCACCAAAAAUUUGUUCACAAAAAAUACAUUUUGAUCUAAAACAUCGCACGUGUAUAGUUCGUUAACAAGUAAUAAAUUGAAAAUUGAGUCCAGUGUCAUUUCACAGAGAUUGAUUUAGUGCAAUUUUUAUUACCGUGACUUUAAACGAAACAAUAAAAAUAAAAGGGUUUGUUAUGAUGCAAAUUAUAACUAAAUUAAAUUAUGUAUGCAAUUAUAAGUGAUUUAAUUAACUAAAUGCAAUUUAUGAUUGAAGUAAAUUGAUGUGUUCUAAUGAAUUACAAAUGUUCUAGGAUCGCGAAUUCUCAUACAACAAUCCAUUUUAAACUUAAUUUUACACUUAAACAAUAGGAUUGGAUUUUGACUAAUCAAUGCUCCUAUUUUAUUCAACAAUCUUUCUCCAAUAAUGUAAAAAUCUAUUCUCAUAUACGGUUCGACUAUAUUUCUAUGACGUGUUAUGCUACAUGUAAAUUAUGGUGUCUAUAAUGAUGUCUAUAAUAUACAAGUGGCAUAACAUCAUUGGAGAGUUAAAAAAUAAUUUUUUCAACCUUCAAUCAUAGAAUUCCACAUGUACAUUAUGGACACCCUUACAGAUAUCAUAAUGUACAUAUAGAAUUAUCCUUCUAUGACAAUUGCAAAUACACAAGAAUGCAUGGAUUUUUAUGAACAUUUAAAGAUUCACAUAGAGCAUGGCGGUAUAUUUCUAUCCCCUAUCGGACCUUACUAUAAUUUAUACCAUAUUGAACAUAUUUUUCUUUUUUCGAAUGCAUGAAACAAGCUACCAAAUUUACACAAUCAUGUGCACAAUAAUUGUGGAGAAAAUAAAUUCAUAUAAACCAUUCAAGUUCCAAAAACGUGUUUUAAUGUAAAGAAUGUAAAGCUAAAAAUUAAAAAAUCAUAUCACAUGGUUCAUCGUUCUCCUAGCACAAACAAAUCUAGCCUAGCAUGGUGGGAAGAAGCAAACAAAUUGAAUAAUAAAGAAAAGACAUCACCAAUUUAAAUCUUGAAUUGAAUCAUUGCAUCUUGAUGUCAAUCUUCACGUUCUUGCCUCGUUCUCCCCUCUAAAAAUCCUUAUGAAUGUGUUAUAAUGCGUGUUGAAUGCUUAGGAAUGACCCUAGGAUUUUAAAAGACCUCUCAAAGUUUGUUUCUAUAAGAAUUUUAGUCAAAUAAGGAAACUAGAAAUUUUUCGCCUCGAUGACUGCCUAAGCAAAACCCGGACAGUCACCCAAGCUAACUUUUUCACCUUGAUAAUUGUUACUUGAUGUAGGGCAAUCCCCUACUCUAAACAACUGGGCUAUCGCCCAGUUAUAAAAAUUUUCGAAUGUUGCAUUUUAGUUUCCGAAUUCAAUUCUUGAUUCUUUCAAAUCUUUUCUCUUGCGCUUUUAACCCUUCGACUUUUAAUUGCAUUCAAUUGAACCAGCAACAUCUUUAAUCUUCAUUUUGUGGUCUGAAUCAACUAUUGAAAUGUUGGAAUUUAGCCCUCAUACUUUUGAUUUCCCCCAUUUUCUUUUCCAAUUGGUUAGAACCUGGUCCAUCACUGAAUAAACGAAAAUUUACCCAAGUUAAAUAAAAACCAAUAGUUUCAUGACAUAAAGACUUAGUAAUAUGGUCCAAAUAAGUGCACAAAAUGUACUUAUCAAAUUAUAAAUUAUUUAUCAUUUUAUGCAUUAUAUAGUAUUGGAACCUUAAGUAUAAAAUUAUAAUAUUUCUGCAAAUUAUAAUUUCUAAAAUUUCAUCUGUUUAUCAUAUCAUAACGAAUGUAUGACAAUAUCGAAAAUAUUUAAACGUAGAGUUUAUGUUACAACUUUGAAAUUCUUUUCCGUGUAAAGGUUUUAAUGAAAUUGUUACAACUUGAUUAACGUUUGUUAAAACUUAGAGUAAUGUGUCCAUGUGAUAAUACUGAUUCUUUUUUAGUGAUCAAAGACAUAUUUUUACAAGUAUUCUUCGAAUGUUAGAUAUUACUUAUUAGUAUUACCUUGAUAAGAAAAUGCAUUUCAUAUAAAGCCAAGGAAUGGAACUAAGAUACUGAUAUGGGAAUGAAAAGCAAAGUCUGAAACCUGGGUUUCAAUCUUUGAAACUUAACGAUCGUUUAGGGGUUUAAAACAAAUCAUCAUGACGAAGUACUAAAGAUUUCUAGGUUUUUAUGAAAUAUGAGUUUUCUGCAUCAAGUAAUAAAAUUAAAGUUUUUGUUGGCAAGUGGCAACCCUAUGAUACCCUAAGUAUGUAAGUCAAUAUUUGGGAUUGAGAUGUUAGAGAGUUGCAUAAAGUUUUUGGGCAUUUCAAUCAACCUACAUACAAUACGAUAAUAAUAAUAGUAACAAAGAUCUAUGAAGUGAUAGGGGUUCAAUUACGAAUUUAAAACUUGAUAGUUUUAAGGUUUCAAACAUUCACCACUAGCACUUGAUCUGACGUUUUUGUUUCUCUUUAAGAAUGACCUUCAAAAUUAUCAGAAAUUAUUAAAUUUGAGUUUCUUGGCUUAAGAUUCCAUUCUCUUCCUUGAAAUUUUCUUGUUGGCUAUCCUCUUCCUGUGAAUUUUCCUGCUUACUGGAUGAUUCAGCUUCUGCCCUUUUAGCCUCAGCCUCAGCCUCGUCAUUUUCUUUUUUCUUCGAAUGAAUAAAUUCAAUCAAACCCUUAAGAGUAGAAUCAUUGUCAUCGCUCUUGAGAAGCUGCUCGGCUACUUCAGCCGGUGUCACUUGAACAAUUUUGAUCAAACCCUCUAUUUCUUGAAACAAGUAAUGAUCCUUGAGACCAAGGUAAUUAUCUGCCAGAAGUUUGAAUCCACAGGGGGUGCAAUAUGACAUGUUGAUAUGCACAUCCAUUCGACCAGGACGCAACAAUGCUGGAUCGAGUUUUUCUAUGUGAUUUGUUGUGAAAAUUAUGAUACGCUCGUCCCCACAGCUUGACCAUAAGCCAUCAACAAAGUUGAGAAAACCAGACAGUGUCACCUACAAGAAUUCGUUUACCGUUUACCAUCAUAUAAACAAAAUUUGCUGCAACAUGCCUUAAGCAAGAAAGUAAGUUAAAUCUAAUCUUCCAUUACAUUGUCGGAUCAUAUCAAAUACUACGAAUGAACAUGUCUUAACUAAAUCUUUUCGACGCUCGAAAGAGGACAAGAAAUCCCAUAAAUAAAUCGGGUUAGUAAACUAAUUUUUUCCAUUUCUUAAAAGUUUCAAAGAACCCAUUUACCAUCAGAAAAACGCAACUUGCUGAUUAGUUGGUGUAAUGUGUAUAAGAACAUGCACUUAUAAGCAAUCAAAUUAAAGAGAAAAAAAAAAAAAACGCUUUCAUCAUUCCAUCGUGUUCAAUACUGUGAACGGCUAAACAAAUGGUCCACUAAUUGUCUUUUUGGGAUAAGGAGAAAUAAUUUGAAGUGAAAAAUGAUUAGUUUUUAAAAUGUGUGAUCAGAUCUAGUGAAAAAUUAUGGGUCCACGUACAGAUUUAUUUCACUAGUAGAAUGUGUAGUUGAGAAUGAGUUUGAAAAAAAAAAAAAUUAUUUUCAAAUAAGUUGUGCCAAACAAACGGUAAACCCUUGUUUGAUCCCUUUUUUUCAAUUAUACAUUUUUCCCCAAACUCAUUUUCAAUCACACAUUCUCUUAAUAAAAUAAUUUUAUGCAUAAAUCUAAUUUUUUUUUCUACUUUUCAUUUGCACACUCUUCAAUAAUCAUUAUUCCAAAAUCUAUUUUUACCAAAUAAUGGAGUUCAAACAAGGGCUAAAAUAUUAGGAGUCAUGCUACACUUACAAAGCUAGGUUACAAAGUUGGGUUACAAAAUAACAUCCACACCAAUCAUUUCAAAAACAAAUUUUUAAAUCAUUUCAAAUCAGUGGCCUACAUUUUGCCAACACACUUGGCAUCUUCACUUUUGUAAAGCUACUUUGUAAGAGUAGCUUUAUUCUAACAUAAUACUGCAUGACACAGUCAACUUCCCCAUCAAAUCAUCUAUUGCCAACAAAAAUUAUGUCACUGCAUGCGUUACAAUUUUCGGGUCAAAGUGGCAAAAUCAUUUUUUGAUAUACUCAUUUUCAAUUAUACAUUCACACAAUAAAAUAUUAUGCACGUACUGUAAAUUUUUUUUUUACUUUUUAACUGCAUAUUUUCCCAAAAGUCAUUAUUCUAAAUUCUAUUUUUGAAAAGUAUAAUUUCUAAACAGGGCUAAAGAUUGCAAAUGAUCUUUCCGUUCCUCCACGCCAAAAAGAAAAGAAAGAAUUAAAUGAUCCACCUCAAAAGUCAGUCUGGAUUUUUAUUACUCUCUGGUAUCAAUUCUUCUAGAGCACUUUUGGCUUUUUGUUUUGAGGUGAAAGUCUUUGUGAUUGAUUGACGUGUUCUCCAACUACUCCACAUUUUAUUAUUUAUUAUUCUUUACUUCGACUGAAAACAAAAAAGUGUUGAUAGCUCCCACCCACCCUGGACAGCAUUAUGUUAUAGUAAUUUCUUACUUUUUUUUUUUUUUUCCAGAAAUUACAAAAAAUAAUAUUUCCCAGUUUGAGUUUCAUUAUUUCAGCACUCAUUUUCAACCAUAUAUUCUACUAUAAAAUAAUAUCACAUAUAAAUUUAAAAAAAAAAACUUAUUUUUGAACCACGCAGUCUUCUAAAAAUCAAUAUUCCAAAACAUAUAUUCUCCAAACUCUCAUUUUAAAUGGAGCCUAAACACGGCCAGUUUAAAAGACUUGGAAAAAGAUAAACUUUCUUGACAGCAAAGUGCGAACAGUAUGAGACAUACUAUGUUGAACCAAAUUAUGGAAAAAUCUGAAAUGGGUGUACAAUGACAGGAGUUCAGUUCAAGACCAUGGCAGAUCCCGUUUGAUUUAAAUUAAAAUCUUAUUUUAAUUUAAGUUAAAGUCAAACAAUAUCUUUCAUUGAUCUUACAAUUUUUCAAUCACAAUUUACUAAAAAAUCUAAUUUUAAUCUCCAUCAAACACCCUCGUAAUACUAUGUUCUACUACGUUAUUUGUAAAAAAACCUAUAUUUGGUGCAAGAUUUGCCAAAUGUUUUCUGGGCUUAUCCUAAUCAAAGCAGACUCACAAAAUUUUAACAUGGAAACACAUCACAAAAUAUGAAUCCAAAAUUUAUAUUAAAGCAAACUAGAGAAAGUAGAAAUUCAUCAACUAAAUAAUAAGUAACCAACCUUGGUUUCUUCCUGAGGAUAAUAAACAGGCGGAGUAUUAUCCUUGUUAGCCUCCCUAUCUUGCAAAUCAAUGGUGCAAUCAAUAUCUUCCACCACCAGUAUGGACUUAUUUGCCGUAGCCACUAGCAAUUUUCUCAAAUCUGAGUUCCUUCUUAACUCAGUCAACUCCAAAUCAUAUAUAUCGAAAUUCAAGUAAUUCGCCAUCGCCGCAAUCAAGCUAGAUUUUCCAGUCCCUGGAGGGCCAUACAGCAAAUACCCUCUUUUCCAUGCCUUGCCAAUCUUCCUGUAAUACUCUUUUCUCUUCACAAACCUAUCAAGAUCCUUCAUAAUCAUCUCCUUUUGUUCAGCGUCCAUUGCUAAUUUUUCAAAUGUCGCGGGAUGAUCGAGGCUUACGGGUUUCCACAUAUUGUUUAUGUUGUACAUGUUUUCGUAAUCCACUGUGAAGAUUUUCACAGUUUUUUUCUUAUGUUUGUAAAUAAGGGAUUGGUUUAUGACGUAUGGUAAGUAGGAAUUGAUGACUAAAUCUUGAUUUUUCUUGUGGAAAGUGAGUUCGAAGGAUCUAACCUCGGAUCUCAGAGUCGAAUUCAUGUCUCUUGGGUUGUAAAAGUUUCUUGAUUCAAUCUGGCAGCAUACCCAAAUCCAUCUGAAUUUCUGUCCUUGGUAUGUGUCUAUUACUUCCUCAUUGCGUUCCAUGUUGAUGUUGAAAUGCUUUUCCUUUUCGGGCUUGCUGAUUUUGAGACGACGCGUGUUGGGAGUGAUUUUUGUGCCGAGAUAGAGUUCGGCAGCCUCGUAGAUUUCGUUGUUGACUAGACCGUCAAACUCAUCGAUCACCAUAGUUAGUUCAUUUGAGAAUUUGCUGAACAAAUUUCUCAAGCCGGAAUAAAUGUAGUCUCGGAAUUCAUGAGGAAGGUAAUCUUGCACGACGCUCCGAACCACCACGACCGUGGCCGCGAUGGAGCCGACGGUGGACAAAACGGUCUUUGCAGUCGCGAAAUUGGACUCGGAAGAAGUCAUUUUUAAACUGAAUUUGAGAUUUGCCCAAGAAUUUGGAUAUUUUAUGGCUAAUGUGAGAAGAAAAUACGUCGAAUUCAGCUGAGAGAGAUUGAUGAUAUCCUUCAAUUUAUAAUUUGUUGGGAAGAAUCUAAAGCAAUAAAUUCAAAUCCAACUGUGAACCCAAGACCCGAGUGAGGCGCAAGUCUAAGAAUUUGAAACUCAUAAGCGUGGACUUUGAAAUGACUUGUUAAAUUAUUAAUAUAUAUACAGAUAUAGCUUCAAUGAAAUUUCUACGAAAUUUCUUUACUGACCCAAAAGUCAUGUUGAGGCUGCUAAGUCAAGUUUUAUAUUUUCUUUGGCCUUUAAAAUUUUGCCACGUGCCACAUUGUCACAUGUAUAUUCGUCGGAAUUCAAAGAACUUUAAACUAAAUGUCAAUCGAGUUUAAUUUGCCUCAAUCUAGAGGGUGUUUGGUAGAUAUUUUUAUGUAAAAAUAUAUUUUUGAAUAGUAAAUUGAUGGAAAAUAUAUGGUUGAAAAAUAAGGAAAAAUUUCUGAUUUACGUGUAAUAUUAUUUUAAUAAAGAAUGUGUGGUUGAAAAGAAGAGAGAGAAAAAUGCAUUUUAAAAAAAAUGGGUACCAAACAGGCUCUAGGUUAUUAAGCCCCUGUUUGAUCCCAUUACGUGAAAAAAUUAAUGAGGAGAAUAAUAUUUUUUUAGAAAAUGAGUGAUUGAAAAAAAAUGAAAAUUUUUCAAUUUACGUGUAAUAUUAUUUUAUGAAAGAUUGUGAGAUUGAAAAUAGGAUAGAAAAAAAUGAAAUGUAAUAUAAUUUAAUAUAAUGGAGCUCAAACAGGGGUUAAACUUUAAUUUAAAAUUUUAUAACCCCAUUGUUUUUCAUCGCUUAUUGUCUCCCAAACUAAUGAAAAUUGCGUAGAUCAUACUCUAAUUGAUCAUCCACAUAAUCACUACGUGGCACCAUAAACUAAAUGAUAAAAUGAGAUCUGUAGAAAUAAGGUUAAAUAGCGUGUUUAUUAUUUUGAUAUUUCUUAAAUGUGAUAUAGCAAUAAAUUGACAGUUACGUGAAAAAUUCGUUGAGCUAUGACUGACAAUUCAGUAAUCAUUCUUAAUCUGGAGUUUAGAAGGUGACGAGUAUGUACAAUUUGAAACCUUACUCAAGUUGAUUGAUCUAAUUCGAAACUAAAUAGAAAUUCAAUAACUCAAAUGAGAUAAAUUAGAGUUCAGUACACCUAAAUUAAAAUUUCAUUGAAAGUUUAUUACUUUGUAUGGCAUUUAUGCCGUCUUCGUAUUAAUGGAUUUACUUGGGCUAUGCAUAAAUGAGUUGGAUGUAUUUUUCUUUGUAAUUGGAAGAAAUAGACAAUAGAUAAAAUUUUUAUAUUAACCUUUAAUUUUAAGAGCUAAAAUGGAAUCAAAUCGGACCAAAUAGCUAAUUUCUACAAUCCAAUCCAGUGAAUUUUUAGUUUUAGUUUUUGGUUCAAAUUAUUGGUGCAUUUCUAUUUGAAAAAUGAUAUUUUUCUCUCAAUUUUAGGUUGAGAAAACUUGGCGUGACAAUACUGCGUAGGAAAAAGAUAGAAUUACAGGGGCCCGUUUCACAUACUCUUGCAAAAUGAGAGAGGAGGUGGGGGUGAGCCUCACCUUUUUUUUUUAAUUGCUGUGGGACACGACCCCCUACAGUGAGGGGGCCUGUACAGCCCCUAUGAAUAGAGCUCAUGUACAUGGAGCUCGGUCCAUACUAUGUAAUAGGAUCGUCCACCUGACUGAUGACAUAGUCAGGGAUCGAUUCAGGAUUUCAAGUGAGCUAGAAUGAUCAUUGACCAUUGAUUGUUGAUCGUCAACGAACAAAAUAAUGAUAUUGUUUAUUACUAUCUAAUUAAAAAAAAUAAAAAUUCUUCAAUCAAUAUAUAAAUGAACUAAGACAUAAAAUCAUAUAAAUAUGAAAAUAUAAUCCAAUACAACUCAAAAUAAUAAGAUAAAAAUACAACAACAAAUACAUGAUAUAACCUGACUCCAUUUCUGAAAGCUCGGACAACUACAUACUUUGAUAUCUCAUAUUUUGAAAGCACUGUAAGAGUGCAUCAUUCUCAAUUUUGUUAAAAAAAUAAUAAUAAAAAAUAAAAAUUAAAAAAGGGAGGAUUUGUCGCUCCAUGUACACCACCAUAUUGUCGUUCAACCAAUUAUCUUCCAUUUUAUGACACUAGUCACCCUAAAUUAGAUUCAUAGCAAAGAAUGUUGUCAACAAUUGUAGUUGUCACUGCUAAUAUCAAAGCCAAUGUGAUGACCAUAUAAACCAACUGGAAAUGACUACGUACCGGACGUGCACUAAUUAAUGGUGAACUGAUAAUACGAGUGGAGGACCAAAAACCAAUUUUCAGCAUCUAUACUCCAUCCAAUCAUUUGGCCACCUCGAGGAAUAAAAAAAGAUUGAUAAUGAAUUAAUGAAGAGGUGAAUAAUUAUGCAAGUGGUGGGCCUGGUGGCUUUGUUGGGGCCCUGAAAAAUAAGCACGUUAUUCUCACAGUUUUUAGGACUAUGUAGGAAUCAAACAAGGACCCCGCUUGACUGCACACACACAUACACAUAGGGUCGGUAUUUUUUUAUUCAGGUGGGACCCGUGCGUCAUGUGAGGAUGUGGUCAUCGGUGCGGUGAACGGUGCGAGUCGUUUAGCAAAAUUCAUCAAACAAAUUUUCCAAGUCGACACAAUUACAUGUAUAAUGUCAAAUUUACCCUUUAUUCCCUUUUCUUUAAAAGAGGGAAUCAAACAAGUACUGUUCAUCCUAAGGCAGAGGAUUCACACGGAAUUGGUUUUGUACUGUAGAUAAACUGGUUAUGCUAAAAUGCAUUCAGAAAAAUGAAUUAAUGAGAGUAUUUAAUGUUUUUGUGCAAGACCCGUUCCCAAAAUGUCAGAGAAAAACAUUUAUUGAGCCUUCAUUGUUGACUUUACAAUCCUUUGCAAAAUAUGACAGAUUUUUUUUUUUUGAGCCUUCAUUGUUGAUUUUACGGCCUCAAAUUUGUACUUUUCAUUUUUUAAAUGAAAGAAAUUCAUAUAAAUGAAUUAAUGACACUAUUUUAUUGGAUUUAUUUGUUUUAUGUAAGUUGGUUACUGUAGCUGCAAAAAAUAUUUUGUGAUGGCUAAAAAUGUCAUUCACAUAAAUGAAUUUAAUCAGCCUUCAUUAUUGAUUUCAGUUAUUUUCUUUUUUCAAUAGCUGUUCGUUCUUCCUUUCUCCUCGAACUAGAACUAGGACAUUCAUCACUGGUGAUUGCUCUCUUUUAUCUGGUGACUCCUGAAUCCUGAAUCACCUAUUGGCUAGUCGACAAAAUUGGAAGCACAUCACAUUAUGGCAGGGUAACGUUUCACAGUUUAAUGAAUCUUCCACUUACUUGAUGGGUUGGCUAAAAGAUUAUUUAUGGUUAAACUCUUCACAACUUAUCAAUGGAUUUAAUUCUUUUGGUAUGAAUAGUUUAUCGGUCUGGGCGUGGAUGUUCUUAUUUGGACAUCUUGUUUGGGCUACUGGAUUUAUGUUCUUAAUUUCCUGGCGUGGAUAUUGGCAGGAAUUGAUUGAAACUUUAGCAUGGGCUCAUGAACGCACACCUUUGGCCAAUUUGAUUCGAUGGAGAGAUAAACCUGUGGCUCUUUCCAUUGUCCAAGCAAGAUUGGUCGUCUCAAAAGAAAAGAGAGUACUCGUGAACGCCUCCUGUGUGUAAGGCUUAGCUUCCCGAUUCACCAUUUAACUCCUCUUGCCAGUCCAUCUUUUCCAAGCGCAUAAGACAACUGUAGCAGAGAUCGGCUAAGCCAUAGCGCUAGUUCUAUUCGAAUGCAGGGUCUAUAGAAGAGGAUAGUUCCGGAUAGUUGGCCUUAUCGUUGUAUCGAGUAGUUGGAUCAUAGUCUCUUACCAUAAAGAUGGCUGAAUGCGCAGCAGCACCAACUAUGAGAAAUCCGAAAGAAUAGGCCAAAAAGUCGUAUUGCCCACGCCUUUAGCUAUUAGAGGGUUUUGGAGAAAGUGACUUUUUUUCUAUUAUAAGGAAGAAAGAAGUUCAAAUUCGUCUUUAUUGAAAAAUCGAAGAAAAAGUCCUUUCAUUAGAAGUUAGAAAAAGCCUGCUAUGCUCCGCUUAGCCUUAUCCCCCUCUAGGGGGAUUUUAGUGAUAGGUUCUAUAGGAACUGGACGAUCCUAUUUGGUCAAAUACCUAGUGCCACUUCGAAUUUGAAUGAAGAAAUAAUAAAAAAUAUUGUUUUAAGAUAUCUCAAUUGGUCAAAGAAAGGAGCAUCUGGCAUAGGCAGCAAGCCUUCCCAAGGCUUUCUCUGGAUGAUCGGUUCUUUUUUCACAUGUAGGUUCCUCCGCAGCAAAGAUGGUAUGGUCGGCUUGCGCUCUUACUUGGAAGUGGUCUCAGUAGCGAAGAAUUUUUGAUUUCCGCCGGCCCCCCUUCUGAAAUAGAUCUUUAGUCCCUUGCAAUAGGAAAUGUGAUUUCACUAUAUUUCUGACCAGGCACAGGCCCUAUCACAAGAAUAUUUUUUUUAUUGGGGCGAUAACUCUGAAAAGACAAAUUGCCUAUCUUUUCUUUCAUCUCGGCGUCGAUAAAAAAAAAUGCUUUUGGGGCAUUAUUGGAGGAGAAGAAGCACUAAAUUGGGGUUUAUCAGGACCAUUGCUACGAGCUUCCAGAAUACAAUAGGACCUUCGUAAAGUUGAUCUCUAAGCCCACAAUAAACAUAUGAUGAGCCCAAAUAAGAAAUCCAAGGACGCCUAUACUGAUCAUGGCAUAAACCAUGCCUAGAUACCCGAAAAUCGAUUUUCCCAAAAAAGUAGAAACGAUAUGACUUGUGAUACCGGAUCCAGGCAGAAUGGGAAUAUACACCUCUGGAUGACCGAAAAACCGAAAGGUGAAGCUUUGUUUGGUGUUGAUUCUAGACUGGAAAUAACCCUAUGACUGACCUAGCUAAAAAGCUUUUGAUGUUGAUUCGGGACGGAAUCCGCAAGAGAAAAGGGAUCCUUUGGUUUAGGAGAAACUUUAUAUGUUAGUUCAGAAUAAACUGGAAAUGCUGCUGAGGGAAAUACUGCUUCGAGAGAGGGCUGUACGGAAAGAAUUGAGUGAUUCACCUAACACUUCAAAGCCUUACGGUUGGGCUUCUUUAGAGGGAAGCAAGCGUGCCAAGCUAAGAACAAUUCAAAACCCGUCCACUUUUUCAUCUACUUUUUGAAAAAAGGAAGAUUUGGGUCAAAAAGAAGGAAAAUCGUACAUAGUAGAUAGGGAAGGAAGCACCAUAAACUACAAGCUCCCCAUCAACCGCCUCGGUUCGAGGACCGAAGACACUGGCGUGGAGCCCGAAGGAGCCAUAUAUGUAAUAAAGGGUGUGGCCUCUGCUGUGAGGAAGGCCUUGAAAACAAGUCCAAUGGUUAAGAAAAGCCCCCGCAAAGCGGAAAAGGAAGCACGAGCCCCCGAAUUCAUAUCAGAAAGGUUUUUGGCCUUGUCAGUAUCCCUCGACGGAGAUGAUGGAUGGGAACUACUACUCUGACUAUAGUUGCAAUCUCUAAGCAGGAUUUUCAAUCAUCUAUCCCAAUAGAGGAAUGGGGGUAGAGUAGAAAAUGCAGAUCUAGGGCAAGAAUACAAUAACAAGAUCUUUAACUGAAAUACCGUACUUCAACUUUAAAUAUAGUUCAUAUAUAUGUAUAUAUAUAUACAUAUAUAUAUAUAUAUAUAUACAUAUAUAUAUGUAUAUGUACAUAUAUAUAUAUAUAUGUAUAUGUGUGUAUAUAUAUAUAUAUAUAUAUAUAUAUAUAUGAUUUUAUCACAUACUACCCAUAAAUUAAAGAAAACUUUCAAAACGAGCAAACUGGUUUCAUUACAGAGAACUGAAUUCUGUGAAAUCUCUCUUCAAUGAAAGGAAGACACUAUUUUUCUAUCUUGACAAAAGCCGUAAAUUGUUUUUAAAAUAAUUAAUCCUUCUUUGGACGAUCUACCAAACUGCAAAAAGAAGUAGAAUUCUGUGAAAGAAGGUUUUUUAUCGACGGAGGAAAGGGAGUUCAAGCUUAAUAUUUGAUAAACUCUAAUGGUUAUUCAUAGAUCUGUUUCAUGAUUUUGGAAAACAAGGAAGUGAUAAUUUUUGCUAAAUUUUGUGAGUGCUGUUUUAUGUAAUUGAAGACUUGUUGAAAUUUUUGUUCAAGAUUUAUUAAUUUGUUUUUGUAGUGCAUUAAUAAAUAGUUUGUUGCAGUAAUCAUUUGAUGGAAUUAUAAAAUAGUUUAGAAUGAACACGAUGAAAAGAAAUAACAUAUAAUCAAGAAUGAUAUGGUGAACUAUUUUUUCAGGCAUUUAGAAAUUUAAAACGAUAGAUUGAAUAACAUUUUCAAAUGUUUUUACUUUUGUGUAUGGACAUAUUAUUUAUUAUAGAAGUGGAUGAAUAAAAAUUAGAAAAAGUAGAGAAAGAAGAAAGCAUUAAAUGCAGUUUGUCAAAAUAAAAAUAUUGGCUGGGAAAUGAGUAUUGUGUUAACCGUGUAUUUAUAAAUACUUUGGACUAAUGAAAAAAUUUGUGCGUAUGAUUUUUGAUAUAAGAAUAAUGAGAGUUUUGAAAAGUUAUAUUUAAACUAUGUGUUUUUGGAAGGUGAAUCAUCUUAAAUUUCAAAUUUUUUAUUUGUUUAAUUUGUUUUCUGUCUUUUGUUUCAACUAAACUAUUAUAGUGUGUACCCUUAAGUGAUUUUGGGCAAUAUUGGUUUAUAAUGUUAGUUAUGUAAUUGUUGAGUAGAGUAUUUUGUGUAUAGGCAAUGAAGUAAGAAUUAGUUCUAGGAUGUGAUUCUAAAAGCUGAAAAAACCAUAAAAUUAAAAGGCAAGGGAAUUGAACAAGUACUUUAAUUGUCUAGCAUGAGUUUAAGCACCUAAGAAAGUUAAAAAAUUUAGUGUAUUUUCAACUCAUUUUUGUUUGCUUGUUUAUUUGUAUAGUUAAUUUUUUUUUAACAUUAUUGUCUACUAUUUUCUUUGUUGCUUAUUUAAAGCAUAUCCACAUAUGUCUGUUUGUCAUUAAUAUUUAAAUCUUUGUAUGAUUGAUGUUAAUAUAAUUUUUACAUUGUUAAAAGGUUGACGAAUUUAAUAUAUCUUUAAUAGUUUGUUGUAACUAAUUUUUAAUUUUUGUAUAUUUUGGUUUUUGUGUAUGAAUGGUUUAAUACAUUUGCUAAUAAUGUUUAUGAAUUAUUUUAGAUCAUAGCUUAGAUUGGAGUUGAAAUAUUUAAUAGUUCUUUCUGCUAUCGUGAUGAAUAUUUUGGAAACGUCUAUUCAUGAAGACCAUAUUAUUGUUAACUUUGAUGCUGCGUUUGAAAGUGGGAAUGAGUUGUAUAGAACCUUCAAUCGCCAACAACGAGUUCAAAGAGAGAGAGAGAGAAAUGAGAAUAAGAGUUAGAAAUAAUUGUAGUGAUUAUCAUAAAAUUAGAAAUGAUCCUAUGUUAUCUGAAAAUAAUUAUUCUAAUGUUACUCAGCUACAUGAAUCCAUAAUGCAUCAAAAUUCUGACGCUUCAACUUCAAAUCAAAAAACACAUAAUAUUGCACGUGUAUUGCCAACAUCCAAUUAUUGUAAACAUUGUAAUGCACGCAAAUUUUAUAGAGAAAGUAAUGGUUUUUGUUGUUCUGAUGGAAAAUUUAAACUUUUUAUAUGUGAUUCACCAGUUCAACUAUAUAAUUUAUUUACUUCUAAAGAUAAUAAUCAUUUUGCUUUCACUUCAUUUGAUGUAAAGUACGAUAAAGAACUCUUUAAAACAUAUAAAAGUAUUUACAUAUUCAGAGCAAGGACAAGUACAUCAUUAUAUAAACAAACUUAUGCAAAAAAAUAAUACGCCUUCUUAUAUGCAGUUAUAUUUUUACGAUAUAGAAAACGAAGUUGAAAAUCGUAUGAAAAUUUCAUCUAACUUUGUUGAAUCUACUUUGAUUGAUUUAAUCAAAAUUUUAAAAACAAAUCAAUACAGUUAAUUCUUUAGAUCUUUAAGUGAUAUGACUGACUUGUAUAAUCAUCAAAUAUAGAUACGAUGUGAUCCAAGACUUCAUCAAAGAGUUUUCAAUACUCUUACAGCAUCUCAAGUAGCUGCUAUAUGGGUAGAAGAUGAUGCAAAUGCUAAUGUUUGUGCUCGUGAUAUCACUAUAUAUGGUCAUUCUGAUGAUUCACACAAAGUUCAUUACUAUUAUGGGUGUUAUGAUGGACUAUCCGUUACUUUUUCCAUAUGGGGAAUUUGGUUGGCAUGAAGGUAUUGAGAGACGUAGAAAUAUGUACUUUUAGCCUGAACGUAUGUCCACAUUGGAUGUUUUUUUCUAACACAACUACUUCUGUAGCUGAAAUUAUGGAAAAAGAGAAUGAAGGUUUGUAAAUAUAUCUUUUGCUAGAAUGUUUUAUGUUUAACGUUAUCUUAUGUUAUCAAGAAAUAUUGAAUUUAGUUUUCCUUUGAGUUUUGUAGUGCUCAAUGAAGCAAAAAAACGUACUCAGGUAUCUUGUCGAGUAUAUUAUUCAUAUAAAUUACAGAUUAGGUCUUCUAGUAAGUCUAUGUUGCUUCACGUCGGUAGAUUAUUUUAACAAUAUGUUGUAGAUAUGUACGUUAAGAUUGAAACUACUAAAUUAGAUUAUUUUCGUAAUAACAAAAAAAAAUUCAUGCUGAACUUUACCAAGGUAUUGUAGAUAGUGUUCAAUAUGGGGAAACAAGAGGAAGCUAAGUUGGAAGAAAUUUUGUUUUACCACAAUCGUUAACAUAUGGGCCUCGCGAUGUGCUAAGAAGAUAUAUGGAUGUAAUGACUUUUGUGCAACGUUAUGGAAAAGCGGAUAUAUUUUUACUAUAACAUAUAAUUCGAAUUGGCCACAGAUUAAACAAGAACAAAAAAACAAUGAUGAAGUUCAAAAACGACCAGAUUUAAUUAUACGUAUAUUUAGAGCAAAAUUAGAAAAAUUGAAACAUGAUUUAUCCAAAGCAAGUAUCUUAGGUCAUGUUAUUGCACAUAUAUACGUGAUUGGAUUUCAGAAAAGAGAACUUACUCAUGCGCAUAUGUUGUUAAUAUUUAACUCUAGAAAUAAAAUUAUUUGUGCUGAAGAAGUUGAUAGGAUAGUAUCGUGUGAAAUUCCUAACAAAAACAAAUACCCUCAUCUUUAUUCUGUUAUUGUUAGACAUAAUGUGUAUGGUCCUUGUGAAAAUUUAAAUCCUAAAAAUGCAUGGAGGCAAAUAAAUUUGUAAAUAUAAAUACCCUAGAGAUUUUUGAAGUAUUAUUGUAUUUGGUUAAACAUAUCCGUUUGUAUAAGUAUCGUGAUACUAAUAUUUCUGUUCAAGUUAGGGGCCAAAUGUUAGAUAACCGAUGGGUUGUACCAUACAAUCCUUAUUUAAGUGCGAAAUUUGACUGUCACAUUAAUGUUGAAUUAUGUUCUUCUAUCAAAGCUGUAAAGUAUUUGUAUAAGUAUGUUUACAAAGGAUAUGAUCGUAUUAAUUUUUCAGUUCUUACAAAUGAAACAAAGAAGGAUAUAGAUGAAAUUUCUACUUAUCAAUCUGCUAGAUGGAUAUCUCCACCUAAAACUAUGUGGAGGAUUUUUUUUCUUUAAUAUGCCAGAAAUUUGUCUAGCAGUUUAUUCUUUACAGCUUCGUAUCGAAAAUCAUCAGCAAAUAACAUAUGACAAUGAAGAUGAUUUAUCUACUGUUGUUGAAAAUAAAAAUAAAAAAGAACAAUGUUGACGAAAUUUUUUCGAAUGAAUGAAGAAAAUGAGUUUGUACGUACACUUUUGUAUAGAGAUUUCCCAGCAUAUUUUGUUUGGAACACAAAUAAGAAAAUUUGGACUCGCAGAAAGAAACAGGUUGUUAUAGGACAAAUUGUCAUGGUAAAUCCAUCUGAAGAAGAACGAUAUUUUCUUUGUGUUCUUUUGAAUCAUAUUCGAGGUCCAACAUCGUUUCAAAAUUUACGAACUUCAAAUGGAGUUCCUGUUGUUAUGUAUCGAGAAGCAGUGCUUCUACAUGGUUUAUUGAGUGGAGAUAAUAAUUGUGAAGAAUGUCUAUUUGAAGCUAUUAUUUAUGAAAUGCCUAUUUCUUUAAGAUGUGUCUUUGCUACACUUCUUACCCUCUGCAGCAGCCCUAAUGAUCCAAAAUUAUUGUGGAAUAAAUUCAAAUCUUGUAUGAUUGAUGAUUAUAUACAUGAAAAUAUUCCUUCACAUGAUGCUGAACUUCGGGCUUUAAAGGAUAUUAGUUGUAUAUUAGAAUCUUUAAGUAAAAAUAUAAACGACUAUAAAAUAGUAUCAUUUAAUGUAGAUAUGUACGAAAAUGAUAAAUUGAGGAGAAUGGUUGAAGAUGAAACAACAAAUCUGAAUAUUGAAGAAAAUUAUAUUUGUGCAGCAAGUUCAAAUAACAAACAACAAAUUGCAUAUGAUAUGAUUAUGGAAAAAAUAACAUUGAGAUCAAGUGGUGCUUCUUCAUCAAUGGUCCAGGUAGCAUAGUUAAAACAUUUUUAUAUAAAGCAUUGCUAAGUGCUGUAAGGUCUCAAAAUGCAAUCACUUUGGCAACUACGUCUUCUGGAGUAGCUACAUUCCUUCUACCUGGAGGUAGAACUACUCAUUCAAUAUUUAAAAUUCCUUUAGAAACAGUAGGUGAAAUAAGUAGCUCUGUUAGUAAACAAUAUGUUUUAGGAACAUUGUUGAAAAUGUGCAAGUUAAUAAUUUGGGAUGAAACUCCCAUGGUAAACUGGUGUGCUGUUGAGGCUAUGGAUAAAAGAUAUUAACGAUUGUAACUUACCUUUCGAUGGUAAAGUUAUGGCUCUUGGGGGGGGGGAUUUUCGACAAGUUCUACAAGUAGUACCAAGAGGGAAAAAAUAAGACAUAAUUAAAGCAAGCUUAAUCUUCAUUGAUUUAUGGCCUCUAUUAUUACGUCUACCAUUAGUUGAAAAUAUGGGGGACAAAGUUUGAUCCUACAUUUUGUGAUUACUUGUUAAGAAUUAGAAACGAAACAGGGCAACAACAUUCUUGUAAUUGCAUUCAGCUUCCAAGCAGUAUAAUUGUACAGUUUGAGGAUGAAAUAAAAUCUUUAAAAACUUUAAUACAUUAUGUUUUUCCAAAUAUAGAAACAUAUGCUGACAAUUUACAUACGAUGGCAAAUCGAGUCAUUCUUACGCCUAAAAAUGAAUGUGUUGAUCAUAUUAACAAGAUCUUGUUAGAAUAGAAUCCUGGUGAAAUUUUUACAUACUAUAGCUUUGAUGAAAGAAUCGAUAAAUUAGAACAAAGCUCACAAGAAGAUUUUCUUAAUAGUUUGACCUCAAAUGGUAUUCUACCACAUGAGUUAAAACUUAAAGUGAAUUGUUAUGUCAUGUUGUUGCGAAACAUCAAUUCUUCUGAAGGGUUAUGCAACGGAACACAACUUGUCAAAAAUUUGAGAAAAAUGUCAUUCUGGAUGAAAUUAGAUCAGGCAACAUAUGCAAUGACGAUAAAUAAAGUACAAGGACAAACGCUUGAUUUUGUUGGUUUAUAUCUUUCAGAGCCAAUUUUUUGUCAUGGUCAAUUUUAUGUAGCACUGUCAAGAGUUAAAACAUGCAAGUCUCUAAAAGUUUUAAUUAAUCUAUCAACUGAUGAAACUUUGCACAUCAGAUACACUAAAAAUGUAGUGUAUAACGAAAUUCUUUUGUUUAUACAUCCAUAGAAGAUAUCGUUGAAGCAAUACAGGUUUGUUAUACUUGUAAUAAUAUUCAUAAACUUAGUUUUGAAUACAGAUUUAAUAUUUAUAAUCUGUGCCAUUUUUUUUUUGCUGACAUAUAGAUUCAAUCAAUAUAGGAAAGUGUGCCUUUGUAUUUUAUUUUCUUUUGUAGCUAAUUCUUAGAUCAGAAAUGUUGCUUAUUUACUAAUCUAUAUGUUUUUGAGCCGUGUUGCAGUUAUAAUGCUUCGACCUUAAGACUUCGAAAUUGUUAAAGGGAUAGGGCCGCAGCAUAGCAGUUUUUGCAACAUAUAAUAUACUACAAGCAAAUACUACUACUACUCAACAAAAUUCUUUAUAACGGGUUAAGAAAGAUGAGAUUAGAAUGCUACAUGUUUUUUACUACGUAAAGGGUUUAAACACAAUAAAGUAUGUCUCCUCUCUUUUUCAUUAAUUAUUUUUUCUCUUAGCUUUUUAGUUAUUUUUUUAACAAUUCAUUAAAUAGAUAUAAUUAAAUGCUGGCUGUAGAUUUUAAUUCAGUUGUGUUGAAUAUCAAAUUGCAUAGGAAACAAAAUAUUUUUGAUGAAAAAUAUACAUACAUAUUUAUUAAAUAUGGGCCAAAAAAUUCUUACUUCGUUAUUGAACUCACAUACAAUAAGUAUUUAGUAAUUUUUUCAAAUUAUUAUUUUCUUUUUUGUACUAUCAAUUGAAUGCAAAAAUAUUACUAUGCCAUGCCUCUUUUGCAGGUAGCAUAUAACUUUUUCUUUCAAUGUUAGUCUAUCGUUUUUAUUACUUGUUUAUUGUUCAUUUAUUUAUGGAAAUGGAAUACGCACAAUUUUAUAUUUGUUGCAUCAAACUUUGUAGUGACUACAAUGUUGUUAUUCUUCUUAACUAGUGGCAAAUUGCUUCUAUAUUGUAAAAUAAAAGGAAAUAUUGCCUACAAUUAAUUAACGAUUUCUCCACACUUUUUUCCCUACAGUUACAUGCUAGCGGAAAAAAAUGAAUAUCCCCAUGAUUAAUCAAAACUUUCGAGUUACGAUGAAAAUGAUUUUAAGCAAACUAAAUAUAGUAUAGUUUUGCAUGUUUUUAAAUAGUAUGUAGACCUACAAUGUGUUCGACAAUUUCCUUAGUCAUGCUGUUAGCUUGAAUUUAUGAGGCGGAACUCCAAGUCCUUUGUUGUAACAAUAAAGGGGUAAAUAGAAAAUAGUAGAAUACUACUCGCAAAUUGAUAGGCUACUUACUACAAUCAAUUAUUAUUAUUUUCUUGAUUUGUUCAUUCUAAUUCUGUAAAUAAUUGUUCAUAUAUAUAGAUACUUCUAUACAUGGCUCGUGGUUAAAAUUUAGCAAUUAAUGACAAUCAUUUCAAAUUUAAAGUUUUUUUUUAUUGUUUUUAACCUUAAACUUAUAUUAAAAUGUAAUAUGCUAUAUACUUAUAUAAAAUUCUUUGCUAUUAUAGUUGUUUUUUUCUUUAAAAAGUAAUUAUUAAGGAUUUAUGGCUGUACUGUGGCACGGUUUGGUUUUAAUUUUAUGAAUUACUUAAGUUUCAAAUUUGAUCAGUUGGAUAAAUUAACACUUCGUUCAUCUAUUUAUCGUUAUUAAAUUUAAUGAAUGCAAAAUGCAGUGUCUCAGUUUUAUGCUUGUGCUUGUGAGUAGGAAAUUGCUCUUGAAUAAUAAAUAUUGGUUCUCGUUUAUAUUGACUUACCUUGUUUGUUUAGUAAAAAUGAAAGAUGAAAAGGGCUUCUCAAUCUACAAUUUUUUUUGAAUGAUUAGGCACUGAACUCUCUGAAAAGGUUUUCCUCACCAGCUCUAUCAUGUUAGCAACUGCUGCAGAUUCACUUUCUUGCCUUCGAAAAAAUGGUGACUAAAGAAAUCCUUAUUUCUUUUUUGACAAAUAAAUAGUUGUACAGCAUAUCCGUCCACGUAAUGUGCAAAUGUGGCAGCCUAAUGUUGAGUCUUCAGUUAAACGUCAACUAAGUAUUUGAUUAAUGAAGAUUUUUCGGUUCAAAGGUUUCUUUAAAUAUUUUUAUGUCUUUCUUAUUGUUUCAAAUAGUCGUAACUUGUACGACGACUGCCGCUAAUAAAUAUUGAACUUGUAAACUAUUGGUUCUUAUGUCGAAUUUCUUUUUCGUAAUUGAAGAGAAUUUUAUUUCCAUUCCUAUUUUUAUUAUAAAACAAUCUUCUAAUGUUCUUAUAAUUUUGUAAGUAUGUAAUGUUUGUUCUGCUAUUAUUCUAUAAAUAAUAAGUAAUAUUUAUUUCUAUAUAAUUUUUUUGUAUUACCUAUUACUCUAACUAAAUAAUAGUAAUUGAAUCGAGGAGUAAAAAAUAAACGUUCUAUGUCAAAUAAUAAUAAAAAUUUUAUUUUUACAUAUUCACUUAUACAAAAUUUUAAAUUGUACUUUUCAAAUAACAUAUAUAUAAUCUCAAUUUACAAAUAUUAAUAUUUAAAACUUUUAUAUUAACAAAUAAAGUAUAAAAUAUAAAUAAACAAAAACAAAAUAACUAUCGUUCCUUCGUAUGUAAAAAAAUAAAUAUUUAAUUACAAAUAUUGAUAUUUAAAAUUGUAAAUUAAUAAAUAUAAAAUAUAAAUAAACAAGAAUAAAACAAAAUUUACGUGAUUUUAUUUAAUUAAUAUAGUUGUUACUUUAAAAAAUUAGAUUAGAUAUUUAAUAGCAGGAUCUUUUUUAUUCCUUGAAUGAAUACACAAGUAUAAUUAUAUCUUCUCUUUCUAUUAAAUGAUGAAUAAACAAGUAUAAUAAUAACUUAUCUGAGUAUAGUUAGCUUCACAUAAUAGAUUUUUGAACCGACACGUAACUACAAUUACUUUCCAAAUUGUGUAUAAACAAAUUCAAAAUAUUUAUUAAAUAUCUCUUUGUCACAAGUAUUUAUUAUAAAUAGCAUACAUACCUUAUUGAAGUUCAUGCACAUACACUUCAUCUUUACUUAUCAACUCUUCCAAAAAAAAAAAAAAAAAAAAAACUUUUUCGUCUGUGUAUCAUAUAAAUUAAUCCCACAGAUUGGAACUUCAAGAAUGAAUUGGUCUACAAAAGUAGUCAUUGUAGGAAAGCAAUCACCUAAGACUGCUCGUAAUUCAACUACCAGAUACCAAAGUAUUGUCCUCAUGGAUUUAGAGGUACAUAAGUAAUAACAUUUUUCAUAAUUUUAAACUUUUAUUAUAUCUGUAUAUUUUAUAAAUCCUUCCAACUUCACUAAUGUGAAACAGGGUAAUCAAGUUACAGCAACAUUGUAUGAUGCAAAUAUUACUGCACUUAACAAUCAGCUGGACUUGGGGAAAACAAAUGUCCUGUCCAAUGUAACAGUGAAAGAUAACAAAAGUCAGUUUAGAAGCUUUGUUGAUGAAAAAAUCUAGAUCAUCACAGGAAGAACAAAAAUUGAAGAAUUGCACGAGAAUAACUAGAAUUUUGUCUUCUCACAGUAUCAACUUACUCCAUUUGAUGAAUUAGAUCAACAUAUGGAUAAAAAUAUCAACAUCAGUAAGAUUUAUAAUACUUCGCUUUAUUGUCAUGUAUUUUACAAUCUUCUACAGUUAUCUUAUGAUCAUCUUCAAAUUAACUAUAUGUGAUAUACACAAAAAUAUUUUUCCUUGUAGGUGUUAUAGGUGUAGCUGUGGACGUUAGACAAAAACGAAUUAUUCAAACCCAUUUUGGUACACAAGCCACUCUUCAGGAUGUUAUAUUGAUGGACAAACAAUGCCAGACAAUGAUGCUAACCCUUGGGAUAGUUUUGUUGAUCGAGAAUGUAUUACAAUUCAUGAAAAUCUUGCAAAUAGACCCAUUAUAUGGGCUAAGGUGUCUUCAUUCAAUGAUAUAAUCUUACAUACCUAUUCAUUUGCUACAUUUAAAAAUUACAAUUAUAUAUUAAUUAAUAUUUUUGCUGUUGUACAGGCGUUACUCUUUCAACCAAAGUCAAUAGCGCUAUCUUUAUUAAUUCUGAUAAAUUAGCUGUUGCAGACUAUAAAAACUAGUUCUUAAAAUAUGUUUCAUUAAUACAAAAAAAAUAAUAAUAAAUUAAUUAAUAAACGAAUUAUUUUUAUUAAUAUUUUUAUGUUUUUUUUUUUACAAGAUGGAGGCUAACAAAGAAAGACUUGAGAAAGUUGUAGAAAAUAAGUCAUUUGUUGUUGUCAGCCUGCCAAAGCUAUGUCCUUUUAUUAUUUGUUAAUUAUAAAUAAUAUUUUUUUUAAGAAAAAAUUUUACUGGGGCAAAGCAUAGUAGAAAAUCAUUUCCAAAAAUAAAUUUUUUUGUAUAUGGCUUGCAACAACUGCAAGAAAACAUCCAACGUAGACUUUGGACAAGUUUAUAAAUGCCAAUUUUGCAAAUGCGAACAUGCAAAAGCUGUUCCAAGGUAGCUUAUGCUAUGAAACAUAUAUUCAAUUUUUAUGUAUAUUAAUGUUUUAUGAAAAAAUAUAUAAUACAUGCUAUGCUUUCCGAAAAAAAAUUCAUAGAGUGAAUGCUUUCAUUCAUCUUGAGGACAAAUCUGGAUGGUUGAAUGCAAGCAUUAUUGGGGAUACGACAGAAACAUUAUUGGAAACUAUUGCCAAUGAUAUAAUGACCCAUUUUGAAAAGGUAAUAUUAAAAUUCUAACAUUCUUUAAUAAUAUUUGCUUCAAUACUCUAACAUUUUAGUUCUGUUACAGGAAUCAAAUGUAGAAAUCGACAAUGUGAUCAAAAUUGAAAGUGAAGAUGAAGCACAAUUUUAUCUGAGGGUUACGCACAAACGCCAAAACCCUCCAGAAUACCACUUUGAAAUCAUCUUUGCAUUCAACACUUUAACAUAACAAUCAUUGCAAACGAGCACUUUCCUACAACUACGAGUAUCACAACUGAUGAAAGCAAUCUAGCUGAACUACAGGAAAGUUCGGAGAAAAAAAAUAUAAAAGGCAAAGAAAAGAUGUGUAUUACUGCACUCUCUUCAAAAAGUAAAGAAAUAACUACGACAAAUGUGAAAAUGUUUCUUUUUCAAACAGCAGACGAACCAAACUCGGAAGUCAAAAAAGCCUCACAAAAGCUAUGAAACGAACGAUGAGCCAACUUCGGAAACUUGAAAAUCACUAAUUACUUUUGUACUUUUGGAUUAGUUGACUACUUUUUGAGUGCAAUACUCAAUAAUAAGUUUCCCAGCAAGAAUAUGUCAACUAAGAAUAGUUUCCUACUUUAGAAAGUUAGGAAGUUUCAAUGUGUAAUCUGUUAUCUUGUGCGGACCAUCUUUAUAUUUUUGUAAAAUUCCAUUUUGUAGCUUCAAUUACACAAAUGCUUCUUUGCUCAAUGGCUAAAGUUAUAAAACAUUAAAUUAAAAAAAAAUCCAAAUUUCAGCCAUUAAAUAUGUAAUCUAUUACUUUUGCUAAUGUAUAAAACUUGUAUUUUUGCAAAACAACACUUCAACAAUUUAUUAAAUUUUGUAGCUUCUUUCUAUCUUUAUAAACUUACCAAUUACUAAUUUGCUAUGCAACAACCAAAUUUAUACAACUUUAAAUACAAUAAGAACACUUAAAUUCCAAUGUAUUAAUUAAAAGAAUCAAAACAAACUAUAUUCAAAUUCAAUUUACAUUUACACAUUCCAACUACUAACAUUUAUUCACCCCACAUUCAAAACACUACACACAUUCAACCAUUUAAUCAUUCUCUUUUUGGCAAGCAUUUCAUUUCGCAAGCUUUCAAUACUAGCAUCUCCCUUAAUCAACCACCGAAAAAGGUAAUCCUCAAAAAAUAUGUGAUGAAAAUAAAUUUAGAAUGUAUUUAUGGUAUAAAGAAUGUGUAGUUUAGCCAAUACUAUUAUGUUAAAAAGCCAUGCAAAACAUAAAACCGUCUUUAAAUUUUUUGCAUUUCAAACUUAAGUCUAUAGUGGUUCUUAUGUGAUAGUAAAAAUUUUAAGUUGAAACACUAACAUCAACCUAUAAUAAAAUAGCCAUAUUGACUUGUUUAAUUUGUUUUUAUUUUAAACAUUUUUUGUUAACCGAGGACAAAGUUAAACACCACGCUGCUCAAAGUGUUUGUUGAGAACACUAUGGGCAGCACGAAGUAUUGCCCACACUUCGCGCUGCGUGAAGUGUGGCCCUCCGCGCUGCACGGAGUAAGGCACUCCAUGUUGCGUGGAGUGCUUAGACUCCAGAAGUGCUCACACUUCACAUAUCGCGAAGUGCUCAAAUUGCGCCCAGCGCAGAGUCACUCCGUGAUGCGCGAACCAAUGACACUCCGCACUUCAUUUUCGUAAUACUCUUAAGAAAAAAUAACCAAAUUUUCAUGAAGACAAUAAUAUUGUACAAUUUAUAGAGUUAUGACGAUUUUGUAACGAAUACACAUAAUUAUAUAUAAUAAUAUCAAAAUCUCUAUAAAAACUUUAUUUUGCUUAAAUACAUACACUAAUACAAAUUCAAUAACACUUUGUCCCAAAUCCCACCUCAAUAUUGGCUAAAUAUACCUGUAUUUGUAUUUAUCAUUUUAAUGUUAAAUUUUUGUGUUCAAGAAUGGAAAAGCUUCUCAUGUAUCUAUCUAAUUUUCCCAAUAACUACAAUACAAAUAACAAAAAUAAAUAUACUUAAAAAAAAUAUCAUUUAACACACAUGCACAUGUCAAAUAAACUUAGAAAAAAUAAAAAUUACUUCAUACACAUAGCACAUAUCACAUUUUAAUCCAUUUUCAAAUUUCAACAUUAUUGUAAAAAAUAUCAAAUGAAAUCAAAUUUCGCUGUAUUUUUUAGUUCUAUUUUCAAAAAUUAAAUUAAAUUUGCAUAAAAUUUAUUUUAUAUUUAUGCAAAAUGCAUACAUAUAGCCCAAAUACUUGCAGCCGAAAUAUAAAUAAAAUGCUAUUGAAGCAAACCCCAAUAUAAUAUCUUCCUCUGUUUAGCCCCAAUUCAUUUUUCUCGUAGACAACCAAUCAAACAUAAGUCCACCUAUUUCUUUAAUUAGAAAAAUCUAGGAAUAGUCCCAGUAUGAUCUUUGCAGAUUUGAUGCUUCUUUGUAAGUUAUUUUGGUAAUUUUUUUUUAUCUGCUGAGUUCUAGAUAAUUGUUAACGACUUAAGCUUAUAUUGGUGCAUUCUUUUGAAUUUAUGUUUUCCUUCUUCGUAAUACAAUUUUGCGGAAACUUAUUUACUAAAAAUUUUGGUUUCCUCAAGCUGAUUUUAUUUGAAAUGAAUAUUUAACAACAGAAAAAGCUUAUGAAAUUGGCAAACGCCAUAGUGUUUUUAUUCAGUGACUAUCCAGCAUCAAUAUUUUACAUAAUUAGCUCUCCAUGUUUUUUUGUUUCUUUGACUUCUCUAAGCGUAUUUUUCAUUAUUUAGCUAAUUUUGCUUUAGUGGCAUGAAUAGCUAAACUAUGUUGUAUGGAGAAAUAACUUUUCUAAUUUUAUAAAAAUAUGUUAGUAAUUAAGUCUACUAAUUAUUAUUUGACAGACACCCCGUUGCUCUAUUACUUACUUUUUCAUUUUCUUCUUAUAUAUUAAUCUCUAUUAUUGUUCUUUUUCUAUUGAAUUGAUUUUAUUAUCCUGUUUUGUUUUCAGAUUCAAGAUUAUGAGUUCGACUGAAACCUCACUGUUACUCAACCUGUGGCAGAAAACUAAUAUCCAGUAAUUGUCAUGACUUCAACGUAACUAUAGUUUACAUAUUUUACUUAAAGAAAACUAAAUAUUCAUGUAAAGUAAAUAAACUUUUUAACCAGUUGGACUACUUGUUCAAACUAAUGAGACUCGUAUCUUUUCAUAAAAUAUUUGAACUUCACACUAUAGGACUAAUCUUGCCCUUUAGAAAACACUCUCCAAUUGUAUUCUAGGUACGAUCUCAGAUACCUAAAUACUGAUGAGGAUCUGAAUAAAUGAUAUACAAACAAGAUUUAACAUUUCUUUUAAAAAAAUUAUUUGAAUCCCUUUUCGAUAUUAAAUCUAGAUUUUUUCAAUUUAUAAAUAUUAUGAAGGUUCAAAAGAAUAAAAAAUCACCGAAAUUAAUAGAAUGCAUCUUCUAAGAUCAAACAACAGACCUAAUGUCAAAAAUUUUAUUUGUGUAUCAAUACUAGAAGAUCUUCUUGUUUAACUAACUGACUUUUCACUUAACAUAAUCCUUAGCUACAUUGUGCCAUUGUCUUUCUCUGGAUAAUUAACUUAAUUAUUGGAAAGCUCUUCAGAAAGGCAGAUAUUAUCAUUUUAAUUUCUGAAAAUGGCACAUUUUGAUUAAUGAGCAUUUUCUGUAAAAAUGAAAAUAAUGAACUCAAUCAAAUUUUCAUUUUUCUCUAUUUUAUGCGUAUCUACAGUUAAUAACUAUCAUUACUCAUCAUUGUUGACUUAUUCCAAUUUCUUAAAUUCUUCUAUAACAUUAUGUCCAAAUAUAUUGCAUAAUUCUUAAAGUUCAGUUGAAAAUUUGGUUGAAAAUUUGCUACUUGAGGAUAAAAAAGCAUACAAAAAAGGGCAUCCAUUGGUCACUCAUAUUCUCUACUACUUAACCUUAAUUGCCUUGUCUCACGAUCAUACAAAGAAAAUCAAAAGAAUCUAAGGCAAUUGAGACAUAUACCAGUAAUUAUUAUCUUCUCUACUUCAAUUUCUUCCUCUUUUGUACAUAGUUUCCGCUUUUUGGAGUUUCAUUGUUGAAUCUGCGAUUUCUUUUAAUUUUUUUGUUCGAAAGAAUCUAAGGAAAAUGAGACAUAUACCAGUAAGUAGUAUCUUUCUUCAUCUUCUUUCCUAAUGUGUUGAAAAUUCCAACUAAGCUCAUAUUUGUCGAUUUAUUCCAGUGUUAUGAUUAGUUUGGAAUGAUUUUGGACGGUUUUAGUUAGCUCAUGUUUGUUGAUUUCAUGAAUUUGGUAUUGUUAAGCCUUAAAAAUAAUAUUUUUUUUUAACAAUUACAGAUUACAUUUAUUUUUGUGUAAUAGAUGUAUGAGUAAUUGUAUUCAUAUACAUAUUGGUAUGUAAUUUUUUUUGACGGUUUGGUUUUUUUAUACUGACAGAAACUAUUGAUUCUAACCUCAUAGAAAUAAACCAAGGAAAGCAUAAUGUGUCAUGUUAACUUGAAGUUUUUACAAGCAUCCACAAACACAAGUGACAAGAUAAAGAAGCAAAACUAAGAUUUGAGGUACUGGGGUUCUUAUGUUAUUAUAAGUAUACUUAUCUCGAUCAGAAAACUGAAGGAAAGUUUGUUUCACAUGUUGGAAUUUGGAUGCUAUUUACGCAUAAGAUUUGAAUGAGUGGGUAAAAACUUCUUGCCUUCUUUUGGAUGGCAUUAUGGAUUAAAAAAUGGCAAUGAAUCCCAAUCCUAAAUCUAAACUUUUAAUACAGAACUUCUCUGUUCCACAAAUCUGAUUGAAAGGAACUAUAAGUUAUGGAUUCAUGUAUUCCAAUUAGAAAGAUGAUAAGGAAAAUAACAUGAAAUGAGUCUGCCUUGUUUAUCUACAACUAAUAUUUGGAAAUCCUUAAUUAUGAAUCAAAAUUCAAAUCCAAUCCUGAAAUUACUACAUUCCAUUGGCCAAGCUAUUAGGGAUAAACAAAGAGGGAGAAUCACUUUGACACAAAGAGUAGAGAAAUUUGACCAAUCAAUAAAUUUAUUAAAUGUUCAAUCUUUGGUAGCCGAUGGGAACGAAUGAAUCUAAUUCAAGCAGAACAUAAAAAAUUAGAAAGACUAGAAAAAAUCUCAAGAUAAGAUGUAGAGAUGAAAGGAGAUGGUGUGUUCCAUCAUAAAUUGAUUGUACUUAAAAAACAUAAAGAAAAGAAAUGCAAUCUCAUUGUAACUUUGCCAAGCAAAUUAGUCAUUAAUCGAUUGUGAACAAAAGCUUAAAUUUCAUUUCUAUAGCACAAGAUAGAGUCUCUACUUGAAAUCAUUGGAGCUCAUACUAAAUGUAAAUCCAUCUUAGAUGUAUUGAAAACUAAAUAAAUUUCAAAGGCUUACGCUCGCAGUCGAGCAUAAAGUUUCACUGGAGCUCUAAAAGGAGGGCACUCAUUUGCAAUGUAUGCUUUGGCGACCUUAAUUUCCUGUCUUCUAGAAAAUGGUUGACAACCUUCGAUCAUCUGUGGACAAAAGUUGGUAGGAAAAAAAUGCACCAAACCAACUAUGUAAUUGAAUCUAAAAGAAGAAACCCAUUUACAUAUGAGGAGAAAUCUUACAGCAAUGAUGAGUUUUCUUUAUCUUUACUUCAAAUAGUAGUAGUAGGGAAGGCAAUGGAGGAGGGUGGUAUCUUGUAAGUAUCUUGCAUUAUAGUUUAUCCCAAGGAAGCAAUUUGUUUCAAACUUGUUAAAAUGCUAGGGUCUUUUUUUACCUGUUGAGAAUUGCGUUUCUAGAACUAUCUUAGUAGUUGUUGCUCAUAGGGCUUAAUGCUUUAGAUAUAUACACAAUGUAGAUAACAUUUUUACCUUCUAUUGAUUUCUAAUGGUCCACUUCUCUCGAAGUACUGAUCACAUGCUUUUUAUCCAAUCUAAGAAUAAAGAUAUCACUUGUUAGUUUGUAUGUGUAUUUGUAACUUCUUACAGGAUAUGCCUACUUGUGAUGUUACUUUACCUAAUCUUUUUAAGAUUCAACAAUCAGUUUAUUCACUUGACAACGUUAGCUUAGAAUAUUCUAUGUAAUAAAAGGCUGAUUUUCUGAAAGAUGUUGGUUUCUUUGAAGAAGAGCUUCAUUUUUAUAAUAUUCACUUCCUUCCUUGGAAGUGGACGAGAAAAUUCUAGGUACUAUCAGAAGCAUACAUAUGCAGGAUAAGCUUCUAGAUUUUGAAAAUAUUGAACCUCAGUAUUGGAUAUAACUACAUGUAGUAUUGAUUAAGGAGUUUUUGAAUUUUACAGAGUUUGAGUUAAUGAAAUAUCUAUUAGAGCAUUGUUCAGUAGUACAAUGCCUUGAAGUUAAGUUACACUGCUCAAAUUCCUCAUUUCAAAUGGACACCCAAGUGUUUUCAAACAACCACAUUGUAAUGAGUACUCAACGUUCCAUUAAGGAAAAUAGCCAUUGAUGAAGAAUUUGUGAGUAAGUUAGAUUGGGAGUUAAACCAAAGAAUGUAAAUAGUUGUCCGUGCUUUAACAAAAUAUUCAAUACUAGGGUUCUUUAUUAUCAAGCAUAUGUGAUUCUUAUCAUGUACCUUUUUAUUGCCAUGUACAAAAAUUAGGUUAGAUUUCUAUAUAUAUAUAUAUAAAUUUUAUGAUUAAUGAAUAGUUUUUUAAUAAUUUUUGCAGAUUUCGCUAUAAUACAUAUUAUCUCCAGAUCAAUGGUUCCCUGCUACCAUUACUCAAUUUGCAAAUCAUCAGUAUUUUAAAGAUUUUGCAGAACUUAUAGAUGGAGACGAUCAAGCUUCUUUAUUUUGCAGUCACUUUCACGGAUUUAUCUAUGGAAGUAUGUAUAAAGAACAAAAUGAAAAAUUUAGUAGCAAAUUAAUACAUGAGUUCAUAAUGAGACUUAUCAACUACGUCAAAAAUAAUGAAGUUUGGGUACGAUUAGACUAUCAUGUGGCCCAUUUUAGCAUGCAAGAAUUUUGUAUAAUCACUGGGUUACCAUGCGAUGAAGUUGCUGUUGAUCUCAAUUUUUGUAAUACUCGACUUAGGGAUGAAUACUUCAAUGGUACAAAAAGAAUUACUAUGAAAAGACUUUCUGAAUUAUUCCACGUGUCAAGAUCGAGAAGAUAAAUUCAAGUUAGGAUUAGUUAUGCUUGUCGAAUGCCUUUUUAAAACCAAAUGGAAGGCACAUCAAUUUUAGAACUCUUUGAAUGGUUGAACAACUUGAUGAGUUUCUUAUGUAUCCAUGGGGACGUGAGACAUAUUUUGUUUUAUUAAAUUCAUUGCAAGAAUCACACCUCGAAAGAGUACGAAUGAUACAACAAAUGCCCAAACAGAUUGUAAAUAUUCAUUACAUGGUUAUCCACUGCAUUCCAGGUAUUUUUUCUCUCUUACAUAUAAUUUAAUCAUAUAAAAACUUUAAUAUUUCUUUUUUACUUUUAUUUCAGUAUUGGAUAUAUGAAGUUUUUCCUCAAAUUGGACGGCAAUUUGAACGUCGUACCCGUAAAAGCUUACAGUGUCCACGAAUACAUAAAUGGAAGCCCAAAAUAGUAUUAACGGAACAAAUCAUUAAACAAUUUUUGGCUAUUCAAGGGGUUUGAUUUAUUUUAAUUUAUAAUUAAAUCUGUAUUUAAUUAUUUAUAAAUAAAUUUUAAAAAAUAAAUCUAAUAUUUUAUUACAAUUAUAGAUUGAAGUAAUUGUAGUACUGAAUCCUACUGAAGAAGAAUUAAAACCAUUCUGGUAUACAAAUCUUUCACUACCAGCUGACUACCAACAUCAUAUACUAGACGGCAUUGUCAAUGGUGAAUUCGACAAUGUAACACAACAAAUUCCAGCUAAUAACAUACAUAUGCAAGAAACAACUAUAUGCACUUCAGUUGGAAUUGGAUCUACUUCUUCUAGUAGCUCAAACUAUAUAACUAAACAAGAUAUGAAUCAGAUGUUCAACAUAUACAGACAACAAGUAGUGUCAGAUGUAUUUGGUUUCUAUGACAUAUUAAAAACACAAAUGAUUGAAGAAUCAACAAAACAAGAGACUCGCUAUCAUGCAAUUCUUGAAAAGCAAGAAGCUCACUGCCAAAUGAUUCUUGACAAUCAAAAACAAUUUUUUGAACAUCAGUAAAAAAGCCAACAAGACUACUUUCAGGGCAUGCAAUCUUAUGUGGAUACCAAUUCCAGUUCAGUAAAAUCUUACAUUGAUGAAUAAAAUCAAAGUAUGCAGAAUCAGUUAUCCAACUGGAAAUCACACAUGGAAACGAUUGUCAGCUCUAUACAAUGAGAUGUACCUCCUCAUACAAGUUCAAUUGAAUUCGAAAUCCCUUCAACAUCUGAAUAUAUUGAAGACGUGGAAAGGUCGAUGAAAGAAAAAAGGUAAGGAAAAACAGAUACAAUCUUCAUCAACAAUGCCAACUAAUACUUUAGAAAACUAUAACAUCGACACGUACAAAAACAUUAGAGAAUGGUUAUUACAAAAUCCAUCAGGGUAAGAUAUUCAAUUUUACCUUGUUAACUUAAAUAUUAUAAUUUGUAUUUUACUCAUUUAACACUAAUUUAAAUUCUCUUAUACAGUGCAUGUUGGAACGAUGUAAUCGACAAUCUGUACGAAAGACAAUUGCUAGAAAAUAUACUAGAUUAAACAAAAAAUAUAAAUAUUGUGGUAAUUAAAAUUUAAUAAUCAUAAUUCAUUUUUCUCUAUUAUUAAAAUAUCUAAUUUACAUUUUUUUUACUAGCAUAUUGAUAUAGAAUUAAAGCUAUUGAUAAGACUUAUUACCGACGGUUCUCCCCUGCUUUCUAAAGAAUAUGCAAUCAUGGACCUUAGAUUCGAAACUGAAUGUGUUCAUUGGUAUACAAAUAUGAAAGAAGGAACUGGUCAUUCUGCAACUAAUUUCAAAGCAUUACAACAAUACAUAAAGGGAGAAUUGUUUGUAUCUGCUCGACCGUGAAUAAUAUACAACUAUUUAUUAAUUCCAUUAGCAUAUCCAGGCAACACUUGGUUUCUUCUUCUUUUUUUUUUUUGUUGAUUUUUGAAAGUGGAAAUAUCAUAUAUAUGAUUGCAGCCACAACAUUCAUACAUUGAAAGAAAUGAGAGCACGCAGAACCAGUAUUGACUAUAGUGGAAUCAUUAUUAAUCUCUACAGACAUUUUCUUCAGCAAACCAAGUUUAAGAAAAUAUAGAAAUAAAUAUAUGAAAUUGAAAAUCAUACUGUAUCUACUUUGUCAAAAGAAUGAGUAAGCAUAUCAAUAAUUUACUAUAAUAUUUAAUUUUAUUUUAUAUUUACAGUAUUAGUAUAAUCUAACAUCAAACUAUUUUUUUCAUACGCCAAAUUCUGGAGUUUUCUUUCUCAAAUACAUAGAAUACUUCGUUUUCGAAUAUCCAUUAGAAUCAGUUUCACCAAAGAAGAUAAAUUUAUACAGACGAAAAAUUGCAUCAAAUAUCUGUCACAAUAAAUAUUUUUUACGUCCCUGUUUGUCCUAAUUUUAACGAAUUAUCAAAAUACAGUAAGAUUAUUAAAAUAUAGUAAGAUUCCUUUAUCAUAAUUCAAUGUAAAAUACUAUAUUCAUAACUUUAAAAUUGUUUAUUUUAAAUAUUUCUAUACAUGAGAAUAAAUAUAGGUUGUUCGAUAGCAAAUUUGAGACACUACUUAACACAUGAGAUUUCAAAGUGUUAGAGUCACAUUUUAUAAAGGAGCAAAUUAAUGUAUUUUAAUAACGGUUAGCAUCAAUAAUUUCUCAAUAAGGUUGAUAAAUCUCUUAAACCGUUCUAUAAUUUUAAUGUUAUGCUUUUUUAACUUUUACCAUUACACAUUUAUCUAUUGCAUUAAUUAACACUUCUGUAAUUUUAAUUGCUUCUAAAGUUAAAUUUUACUUGUUUAUUAUUCACGCAUUUUAGGAUAAUUUACAAUAAUUAUUGAUCUUUUGUUUAAUUUUUCUUUUUUGUUAUUCAACAUUAUGUUUAAACUUUCAUAUGUGCUCUGCUUUUGGAUCAAUUUCUUCACAAUCAAAUCAGACCUUAAAAGGAAAAAAUUAUAUUAUAAUCUCCUAUGUAUAUCUCCAAUCAUACGUACGCUUCAUACCCAUGCUCUAUUGUGUGUUUCAAAUUAUUUCAAUGAAAUUUGUAAAUAGGUAAAAAUUACUGACUUUUUCUAAUCUUUCAUUCAAUUUAUCUUUUUUGGCGUUCAAUUUAUAUUUAGGCUCUUUGAACUAUAUCGAUUGUAAUUUUGUUUCGUUCAAGAUAAAUAUUUUUAAGUCAAUUUUAGUUCAGUUUUUAUUUUCUUGCUAUAGGGAACUUGUUGCCUCUACCUUUAUUGUAUCACAGCCUGUAGCUUUCUUCUUUACUUUCGUUUCGUCCCUUUUUGUACAGAAGGCGACAUGUCCCUGGUCGACGAAGUAUUUGUUUUGCGUGGUUUGAGAAAGUUGCGCUACUGGCUUUUGUUUUAAGGUAAAAUUUAUGAUACGAAAUACGAUUUUUCAUUCAUUCUUUCUAAAGGAAACAUUUCAUAGUUCUUUCUUGUUGUGAUUUCUUAAAUGCAAAUAAAAUUCCAAUUGGCCAAUGUUAAAACCAAUGCCUUGCAGGCGUCCUUUGAUUGAGCAAAAAAAAAUUGUGUAAUUAGCUUUGAUUUUUGUGAAAAUGAACAUCCUUUCUGUUUAUCUUGGUUUUUAACUGCUCAUAUGAAUGUAUCUUUUUAUUUAUCUUAGUUUUCAACUGCUCAUAUGAAUGUAUCAUCUGUAUCUAUUACCUUGUGUAUUUUAAAUUGGAAUGGUUAAUGUCACAUGGCUAAAUACCUGUGUAAGAUUAUAAUUUUUUUUCUUUUAAAUUUUGAAUUUCCUUGUCUUCUCAAUACUUGAUGCUUGAUUGUCUCUCUUCACUAUUCUUUAAUAUAUGACAGAAGAAAACCAUGGGAGAUAUUGUGCACCGAAUCUUGAGCAGAAUUUCAACAAUGGAUAUAAUAAAAAGGAUGUUGUACAAAAUAUGCACCAAGUUUGCUUUUUAUAAUAGCCAAUGAAAGCGGAAAACUAUGUAUUUUGUCUAAUUAUGUGACAUGUUUUGCAAUUCAUUGUCCAAUGAAACAGAACAAAUACAGUAAAGAUUGUGCAGUUGAAGUAGUAUGUUCACUUGGUAUGUUACAAUUCCACUUUAUCAAUGCUUUAAUCAACAAAAAAAAAUAAAUAAAAUUAAGGCAUGCUAUAUAAUGUGUGCUUGCAUGAAUAUCCAUUUUCAUUUUGUAGAUGAGUGUGAGUCCCGUAUACUAUAAUGGUUACUAACAUUAACUAUGCUACUUUGUUUUAUAAUCACAGAGUGUCAUCAUUUGUCAUAGUUUUAUUUAAAUUAUUUAAAUUUUUUUCUCUAUUGAAAAUGUCAAAUCACAUCCGUUGUUCUUAUAUUGUUAGAUAACUAUAAAGCUUAGGGAUUUAACACUUAUGGAUGCUUAGAGUAAGCUAGCUGGUUUUUUUUGUUGUAGAAAUAGUUUUUUCCUAUUCGUAUUGCUUGUAGUUCUUGAAAUGAUGUUGAUUGAUGUGUAUUUAUCACCCUCAAAUUUUAAUUUCAUUAAAUGCCUAUUGUAUCUUAUAAUGAGCGGUAUCAAUGAUGAUAUUGUUUAUCCUUGGAUUUCGAUCAUAUUUCAUAUGUUAUCGAUCAUCUAAAUGCUUGUAAUCUGCUAGCCUGAAGUUGCAAUUAAAGAUGAGACGGGGAAGGUAUGCAGAGCUAAUUUUCAUUUUAGUCAUGGGAGAACCGUUCAUACUCUAAGACUUGGAAUGUAGAUAUCUAAAUGAAGUUCUCGUCUCUCUAUUUUUAGACAAAGAAAAUAUUAUGGAAUCUGUUAUAUCUUUGCAGAAUAUGGUAUCGCUACAUAAAUAAAAAAUGCCAUACUCAAUCUUCCAGAAAGUCAAAAACAGAUGGCAUGGUCGAUAAACUUCACAUGAUGGUCUUUAAGCAACAAUGUCCCCAUCAACUCUGCUCAAGAUACUAUCGAUAUACUACAAAAUCAUUACCCUAAAAGACUAGCCAUAGCAUUUUUGUACAAGCCCAUCUGAAGCAUUUUGGAAGGUUUUCCUCUUAUAAUCCUUUGACUCUAUUUUCCGAUCUAUAGCUAAUGAGAGAGUAGACUUUGCAUUAGAUGGUCCUUUUUUUUUUUUUUUAUUACAUGGGUUAAAAUCAUCUUUUUAGUCAUGGUUUUCUUCGAAAGAAGAGGAAUGUGUUGGAUUAGAACUUAGAACCAUACUAAUUAAAUUAAUUAUGUGUGCACAUAUCUCAAUUAGAAAGUUUUACAUUUUUAAGGUACAAUUUAUUCAUUUUUAUUAGGUAAAAAUUUGACCUUUCCAACAUGCUAAUUUAGAAAUGCUCUUUUAUUGCAGGUUGUAAAAUACUUUUUGAAUGCAAAAUCAUUCUAGAAGCUGAAAUUUCUCUACAUAAAGAACAAAAACGAAGUCAUCAGAUCCUAUUUUGAUUGUUAUUUUGAUGAAGACAAUCGUCAAGUUGAGUUUGGAGAUAAAGCCCUACUACAGUACGACCAUGUGGAUAAAGCUUGAGAACAAUGAAAAAUUAGCAGGUAUUAUAUUACUAUUUUUUUAGAUCUGUACACAUAUGUGAGUUAAUGUUUGUCCAUCACUUCAAAUAAACUUUAUGGUGUGCAUUUUCUUUCAGUCACUUUUGCUUCACUUGGUGAGAAGACCGUAAUCAAGUCACCUAAAGUACUUGUUAAUGCCGAUUUUCCAUGUUGCAUUGCUUGGUUAUAUUCUUUCUUAAUACUAUAUAGACAUCUGUGGAAAUAAUUGUCAAGUCAACAUCAUCCAAUGACUAAUACAGUUGCCUUUUUCAUUGAGCCUGCCCAAAUGUUUAAGCACCACCCUAACACUCGUGACCAGCACAUUUCAUAUUACUAUUUAGACUCCCUCACAUUUGGAACAAGAGACUGAGGCAACUGAGAGGCAAGCAGACAAUAAAGCAAUUGAGGUUGUCAAAAGUUUUGACAGAUCGUGAAACAACAAGCAUUAAUGAUGCUUGUGUCGUCACAUGGUUGUUCGUGCCUUGUUGCUGAUUGAUUCAAAUACAUUACUGUGUUGAAUCCUGACCGAUAGGGUAUGGCUUCUAUUGCACAUUGAAUGAAAAUAUUUUACCUGUGUUCAUUUAAAUAUUUUUUAUUAUAUAUAAUCAUCAAGUGUUUGAUCUAUUUUUUUAUAUAUAAUUUUUGUUUUUCUAAAAAUUUUUCUAAUUUUAUGUUUUUUUCAAAAUUUUUUAUUGUUGUUUUUUAGAAUUUUAGCUUUUCAAAAUUUUAGAAUUUAUUCUAUCAAAAUUUUUAUUUUUUAAAAUAUUAUUUAUCAAAAUUUUAUAUUUUUAUUUUUUUUAAAAUUAUUUAAAUGCUUGUUUUCCGUGUUUUAAGUGUUUUCAUUCUAAAAAUACUCAAAAUAUCAAAAACGCGUUUUGAAUUUUAUGUUAUAAGUUUAACCUUAAUUUUGAAAAUACUUUUUUAGAAAUAUUAUACCAAACAUAUUUUAAGUGUUUCACGAAACUCAAAAUUGAAAACAAGUUGAAGACAGUAAACCAAACACUAGUUAAGCUUUAUUUAUAGUCAUUUUUCUGCAAAACAAUUCAAACUUUCUUAUCACACAAUGAACUACAUGGAACAACAAAAUGUUUUACAAAUGGUUGCCUAACAAUCAACAUUCACGAUAGUUCUCUAUCUUUGCGACAAUUAUGAAGUACCUUGACAAGAUGAAUUGUCUUGCAUAAAUUGAUAUUAUUUUGGUACUUUUUAUCAAGUGAUCAUUUUUCUAAUACUUAUAAAAUGUGGUCAUUUUAUAAAAUGAAUGAAGAAUAGUGGCCAUUUCCUACUAUUUCUCUUACAUUUAAUAUAGAAUUAAGUUCAUGUAUGUCAUCAUUUAACAAAUUAAAUCGUUUGCUAUAGUAAUAUUUUUCACCACAAAUUUACACAAUAAAAUAUUCUAUACAUAAAUCAAUAAUAUUUUCUUUCAAAAUGGGAGACAAACAGGCUAUAAAUAGAAUUAAUCUAUUUGUUCAAUGAAUAUGUACAAUGAGUUCAACAAUGUGUAAAGUACAAAGAUCAUAGCCAUUGAAUUCAAAAAUAGUUUUUUCAAAUCAAUGGACAUGAUGUCUGCCAACUUAUACAUUUUCCAAGUACAACUUAGUUAACAACUACGCCUACAAUCAAUAAGUUGACAGACAUUCACACCGCACAUUUCAAAAAUUAUUUUUUUAAAAGAUGGUGUGGAUCCCCACACCUCACAAGUUGUCAACCAUUGAACAACUAGAAUAAUUAAUUUUCAAUAAAAACUUCUUGUACACCAUAGUAUACAGCCCUCUCACAAUGUGAGGGGGCUCACAUGAAUAUUAUAUUUAUGGACCCCCUAUAUUUUAAGGGUGUGUAUGUGUGCACAACCAGCAUAACUGAUUAAUUUUUAUAGAACUUGAUUGUACAACUAGAAUAAUCAAUUUUUAUAGAACUAAAUAUGUCUAAGCCAUACAAAAUAAAAUUUUAAUGAUUUUUAAUUCUAUAGUACAUUUUGCCCCCGUUUGGCCCCCAUUUUCUGAAAAUGAAAAUGAGUAGAAUAGUAUUUUUUUUAAAUGAGUGGUUGAAAAAUAAAGAAAUGUUUUCGAUUUACGUGUAAUAUUAUUUUAUAGAUGAUAUGUGGUUGAAAAUAAGAUAGAGAGAUAAAAACUUCUUGUAUACUAUACAGCCCUCUCACAAUGUGAGGGGGCUCACAUAAAUAUUAUAUUUGUGGUCCCUCUAUAUUGUAAGGGUGUGUAUGUGUGUACAGCCAGCAUAACUGAUUAAUUUUGAUAGAAUUUGAUUGUACAACUAGAAUAAUCAAUUUUUAUAGAACUAAAUAUGUCUAAGCCAUACAGAAUAAAAUUUUAAUGAUUUUUAAUUCUAUAGUACAUUUUGCCCCUCGUUUGGCCCCCAUUUUCUGAAAAUGAAAAUGAGUGGAAUAGUAUUUUUUUUAAAAGAGUGGUUGAAAAAGAAAGAAAUGUUUCCGAUUUACGUGUAAUAUUAUUUUAUAGAUGAUUAUGUGGUUGAAAAUAGGAUAGAGAGAAAUAAAAUAUAAUACAAUGAAUUUUAAUAGGGACCAAAUGGGGAAUUGUUGUGUAGUUCACCGGAGGUAAAUAAGUCAAUGAUUUAUAGAUAGUGGUGGGCCAUUAGCUCUUAUAUGAUGCGUCUUCAUUGAAGGUAUAAAGUGUAAACUAAUAUCUCCUAAAUUAUUUUUGCACCAUUAUUUACAUACCAAUAAAUCUAAAUUCAAUUUUUACUUCAGUAAGAAAAAUUUAAAUCAAUUUUUUAGAGAUCUAUUUUACAUCGCAAUUGAGGAUUCUCGGAUGCAUUAGAUAGACCACGAAAGCUGUGACAAAAAUUAGAAAUUUUUAGAACAAUUAAAUUGUUUCGAAAUUUGUUCCAAUUAAACAUUUAUUUUUUUAAUAAACCUUGUUGCAUAGCUUGAAAAGCAAAUGGUGGUUGAAAAGUGAGUGUUACUCAUAAAUAUCGGACUCGGACAUAAGUAUCCUGUCAAGAAUUCAUUUGUUCAACAAAGCAUUCUAUAUGUACAGAAAAUGAGCUUACAAAAGUGUUACGGAAUAGACACAAUAGGGGGAGUGGGUGGUUCUUAAGGACAAUAUUUUAAUCACAUGUGGCCCAUUCCCACGUGACUGUCAGUAGCCAUUUUGUGAAGCACAUUUUCUGUACAAAUGUUUUAAAACUUUGUUCAACAUAGAUGUCAUUAUCGUGGUAAAAUUUAAAUAAAAAUCAUUAUAAACAAAAAUAAAAAUAAAAAUGAAAAAAAGUAUUAUCUUUUAUGAAAAUAUUAAGAAAUUAAGAAUUGCUAUUAUACCACAUUUUCAUUCUUCAAAUAUAAGAAUAGAAUUUGUACUCUAUAAAAAAUGCAAAUUAUAUUGUUUGUUAUAUAUUUUUCGCAUGUUUAAAAAAAAUAGUUUAAAUAAAUUAUUUGUUAAUUAUUAUAGUUAGUGGAAAAAAUUGUUGACUUUCUGGACAAAAACUUAUAUGUUUGCUCACUAUUAUUACUAAAUCACUUGGUGACUGUGGUAGAAGCCAAAUUAUUCGAGUUGAGAUUUAUUGUCCAUUUGUUGUUUAUUAUGCCUUCGCUUGGCCCUCAUUUUGUAGAAAUGAAAAUGGGUGGAAUAAUAUUUUUUUGAAAAAUGAGUGGUUGAAAAAGAAGGAAAUUUUUUUUUGUUUACACAUAAUAUUAUUUUAUAAAAGAUUGUGUGGUUAAAAAUAGAAGAGAAAAAAAUGAAAUGGAAUGAAAUGAAAAUUAAUGAAGGCCAAACGGGGGCUAAAUUACAAAUUGACAUAUCAUGAAUAAUUAAAGUUGCAAUUGAAUGGACAACAAAUUAGACAAAAAUAAAAGACAAUGAACAACAGAUCUCAACCAAAUUAUUCAUAGGUAGAAGCCAAGCAGUCACAUGGUGCAAUAUUCCUUGGGAGUCGUAUUAUUUUGAAUUGCAAAAGGUAGUGGAUUCACAUACUUAUCAACAUUUGAGCACAUGGAAGCAUGCGAUUAACUAGACAAAUUAGUGGUCAAAAAAAUUGGUAAAUAAUAGAAUUUAACGGUCAUCUACCAAAUACUGGGCAACUGAAUAUAUCGAUGCGAAAAAUAGAAAACAAAUACUGGGCCAAAAAAAAAAAAAGAAAAAAAAAAGAACAGUUUAAAUUGGAUCGCACAAACUCCAUGAGAACUCGGAGCUAUUCGAGCUUCAUGUCGGCAGUUCCAAUGCAGAAGACUUGCAAAGAAUUUUUCUCCUUAACCAUGGCGAGAAUUUGAAGUAGUUUCAGUGUACUAAAGUCAACCUGUUAACUCCAAAUUGUAACUAACAAUUUUUUAAGUCAAAAUCAAGUUCUGGUUGAAUUGUAUUAGAAGUUUAUCGAGUUAUAAUUAAAGUUGUCAAGAAUUUGUAGUAUAGGUUUUGAAGAAGUCCAAGAUGUUAAAGAAAUUCAAGAAAAUAAAAUGUGAUCACCGAAUCGCAACUAGAAAUCUAAAGGGUAUCAAAGUGUGAUGCCUCGAAAAUUUUAGAAAAAAAAUUAUUUUAAGGGGUAGGAUUUCAUAAUAACACGUGCUUCAUUCACAUUAUUAUGUCUUUCUAUAUUAAUCUCAUCAAUGUUGCAUCUAUUAUUUAAUUGAUAUAAUUACUUUUCUCGUGACUUAUUAUAUUUUUAUAGUGAAACGUACUUUGAAUGCCCUGAAAGAUCGACGUACCUAUUAAUUUAAGUACGAUAUGUUUAUAACUUUAUUAUGCUUGAAUGUAAUUAUAUUUAUAUAUUUAUUAUGUGCUCACGAUUCUUAGGAUUCAACCUAGAAAUCAGGUUUAAAAUAUUUUCUUUUCUCAAUAUGUGCAUUUUUGUGUAAUUUAAUGUAAAAGUCGUAUGUGAAGAACAUUAUGAAAUUGUAAUUGUUGAAGACAAAUUUAAGGUUUUAUUUAAGUAAAUAAGAUAAAUAUUAGAUGUUAAAAUUAGUCAUUUUAUUUUCUGUGAUUCACACGUGCAGUAUGUAUAUGUCUGUACGUAUACCCCACCCAAAAUACAGUUUAUCAUCUAAUGCAAAUUCAAUUAAGCAUAAAAUUUUAUUUUAUAUGAUUAUUACUUGUCUUUCAUUUGUUAUUUGUGACAAAAAGAAGGAGAAAUGUAUAUUUAUUUUAGAGAGUUGAUUAUAUGAGUUAGAUGAAAAAAUUUUAAUUUUAUUUUUAUUGAUAGAUGAUUUAUGGGGAGUCAUCUGAUAUAUUUGCUGGAAUUUUAUUAUUGAUAUAGUAUUGUUUUUUUUGUCUAUAUUGAUAUAAAAUUCUAUGAUUUAUUUCUAAAUUUAUAAUUAUCAUGAUAUUGCAUGUUUUGGUGUUACACAUGUUUUAUUAUGUUGUUUUAUUUAACUUCGUUAUACGUUUUUAGUUUUGUUAGUUUCGUCUUAUUUUCACGUGAUAUUGUGAUAUCCUUGUGUUUCAGAGAAUAGGUUGACAAGUUGUUGAAGUGUAGUUGUGAAAGUGUCUAUUAGGUACAUUUUAGUGGACUUAUGACUUUGAAAUAAAUGAUUUUAUCACGAAAUGUCAAAGGGAGAUAUUAUUAAAUUCAAAUUAUAAUUGACAAUUUCCUAAGUCAAAAUUAAGUUCUUGUUCAAUUGUAUCGGGAGUUUAUUGAGUUAUAUCAAAGUCAAAAUAGUUAAGAAUUGAUAGGAUAGGUCACGAAGAAGUCUAAGAUGUCAAAGUUGUCCAAAAAGAUCAUAUAUGAUCAAAGGAAUGCAAUUAUAAGGCUAAAGGAUGUCAAAGAGCCCCAUAAGUAAUGCUCCAAAUUCUUGGUUGUAACUUGAAUUUUAUUUAUUUAUUUAUUUAUUUUAUAUGGAGAACAUUUGAAUUUGGAGAAUACUAUUCUAGAAGGAUUUUAUCUCUUUGAGUUAGCUUUUCGAGGCAUCUUGAAUAAUCUCAAUACAAUACCGGGAGAUAAAUUUAUGAUGAAAAUAUCAACGAUUGUUUAGUUGCCGCUCACCUAGCGCUCAAGCAACGAGUCGACGUUCAGAAAUUGGUUUUACUUCAAACACUGAAUUUUUUUUUCCGAUGAAAAAAUUGCAAAUGAAAAUCAUUAUAUGGUGUUUUCACAUGAUGGAGCAUGGUGGUCUGGGUUCUUCCCACCGGGUCAUGGGUAUGACUGGAAUUCUCUCACAGAUGGGGCAGGUGAAGGGUGUGUGUAUGUGGGCCUGAACUUCCUCUUUGGGCUUUUUCUCUUCAGCUUUUUUAGGCCCAUCUUGUUUUUGUUGGGCUGGAGGAGGCCCAAUACUGACAACUUCAACAUAUCUUCCAGCUUUUCUUGUUUUCACUAGUAUUUCAUAUGGGUCUGCAUCACCUGUUACUGUCAACGUUCCCUUUGCACCAUCCACUUCGACUUUAUCAAUGCCUAAAAUGGAAGAUUCCAAAUUUAAAAUAAUAUUAAUAAAAAUAAAAUAAACAAGGGUCGACGUAAUAUAUACACAUAGAAUUUUGCUACUAUUUCAUCGUAAUUUAAGCUUUCGUCGUAUAGUUGAAAAAUAGGAUAUAAAUGGACAGUCAUGUUUGGCUAACCUUAAAAAGAAAAACUAAAAUUGGCCAAACAUGAAUGAGAAAAAAAAAUUUAUAAUUAAAUGUAAAACUUUGAAAUUAGCCAAAUGUUUAACUGUGCAUAUACUUCGUAUUAUCCAUUGUAAUAAAUUGCAAAGAAGAAUGUUUAAUUUUUGCUCUUGCAUAUUGUUUUAACUAUUCUUCUCGUACUUUAGAUAUGCAUUAUGGAAUCAGGCUGUAAGUGAUAAAAUGAAUAAAUAAUCUAACAGGGUUCCAUAAUAACUAUAACGAUCAAAAGUGUUUAAUUUUAUGAUGAAAUUUUUAAGCGAAUUCUACAUUGACGGAAUAGGAUUAAGGAAAAGAUUUACAUGUCAAAAUGCGCCAGCCAUCAUAUUUAGCCAAUGUUUGGUUGGAAUUAAAAUCGAAUUUUUAGUAAAUUUUGAUGAAAUGUGAGGUUUAACAGUCGUGAAACCUAUGAAAUAUACAGUUAAAAUUAACUGUUAACUUCGAAUAAGAUUAAUAUCUAAAUUUUACUUCCUAUCAAUUAGGGGCUUAACAUAAUUUAAAUUUUUAUACGCUAAUUUCGUUCGAAGAUAUUAUUUCUACAUUGUUUAGAAAAGGAAACAGUUGUUUUGUGUACAGUGGUUGUGCACAAUUGGAAAAUAUAGUUAGGGAUGACAAAAUAUUUCAAAUCUAUACAUCCCGUUCCACCUUACCUCGCAUUUCACAAUAUGAACUUUAAAAGUUUGGUAUGUUGAAUUGAAUAUGUAUUUAAUAGUUUAAUUCUAACAAAUUGAACUUACCAAAUAAGUCGACAUUUAAAACUAAGUAGGAAAGAAAAGCAAAGGUGAAGCUACCUUGUAAUCCCGAGACUGCUUUGAGGAGUUUCUUCUUGCAUUUGUCACAUGAUAUAUCAACCUUCAAAACAGUCUUUUGUACCAUUGCAAUAACCCUAAUUUUCUUCUACUGUUUGAUACAAAUCUAAAUAAGGAUAAAUGUGAGUUAUAUAGGGUGAUCUAAAGUAACAAAAACCCACAGGAUCGUUGGGUUGUUCACCCCUUCCAAUUGUCUUCUUUAAUUUGGACAAACCAUGACAUUAAUUUAAUCAAUCUAAGAUUUUUUUAUUGUACCGUUGUUUCGAUUUGAGUGACUUUUGUAAUUGUUGCUGACUGCAAUUCAAGAUAAAUCACCAUUUGAUUGAAUCCAAAUUAUGUUGAGAGGUUAACUAAUUGGGCAAUGCCUCUUGUCCUGGGGCCACAUAGGCCCGGGAUUUCCCCUACAGGCACUGGGUCUGUCGUCCCCUCCUAGCAAUAUCCUAACUAAUUUUAGCUAGGUAGGUAACCAAAAAGUAAUAACAAUUUUCAUAUUUAAGUUCGUUUGAAAGCGAUACAAAUAGAAGUUUAAUGUUUUUUCUUUUCUUUAAACUGAUGAAUAUAUGAGUAUUAUUAACAAAAUUCUAUAAUACAACUUUGUUGAGUCGUUAAUAUGUCGUCUCCAAUUGGUAAAAUUGUGGAUCUAUAAUAAUAAACGUUUAGAAAACAAAGUGUGAAAAUCGAACAUUUUAUUACAUGUAACUCACUAUAAUUCCGUUUCAAAAGUCGCUUACUUAAAACUUCAAAUAUGUCAAUCAUUUGUUAUCUCAUUCCAAAGUCUACUAUUUUUGUUUUUUUAUGACCAUAAACUCAAUCGAAGUACGAAAAUGCAAAAGUUUCCUAAACUCCACGAAACAAAUGGUAGAAAUCAAAUUUUGUUUUUCUUAAUUUAUAAACUCAUUGUCUCUACCGGUUUACCAAGGAUUUUAUCAUGUGGAAAUUACACCCAACUAGAUUUUUUAAACACUAACUUAAAAAAUCAGAUCUAAAUUUUAUUUAUACAAAAAUCAGAUAUCUUAAUUCAAAUCAAAAUUCAAUAUUUUAAUACUAAUAAUAUUAUUAAAUAUAAUUAAUCUCCCACAUCUACUUCACCUACCCAACAAACCUUAGAACAUUUCCACAAAUCUCUCUUUACCCUCUUCAUUUCCACCACCUGCCUCUUCGACAUCUCUACAUGGGGAGAAGCAGCCAAUACCCAAGAUCGUCACUACCGCGUGUCUCUCUCUCUUUCCCUCUCCUAUCAUCUCUUCUCCAUUCUCUAUAUGUGAUAGUCAUUGCACGCUACCUGUAAUAGUCGCUACACGUGGCACAUCACUGUUGCGGCACUCCCAAGCCGCGUUGUCGCUCGUCGUGCUGCUGCGUGCGAUCGGGGUUUUGGUGUGGUCUUGGUAAUUUUGAGGGUUUGGAGAUUUUGUUGGUGGGGGUGGUUGCUAUGGCGUGGUUGACAAGACCCGUCCCAAAUCACCCUAAUGGAUUCGACACGUGUCAUGCGCCGAUGAAGGAUAUCAACUAAAUGAAGAACCCACCACCAAGGCAACUAUGAUUUGCUUUGACUGUGACAUAAUUUUAGAAAAGUUUGACAGAAUAUCCUCUAAAAUAUAGACUAAAAUCACCUGAAAAUUUAUCAACUUUCUCAAACCUAUACAUAUAAUUUAAAAAAGGGUAAAUCAACCCUUCCAAAUACAACUAUUCAAAAUAAAGUGCGUUGGAAUGGAAUUUACACUUCUUUACAAACGAGACGACUCCAAAUGCAUUACUUAUACAAAAUUAUGUAGUGAGCCCAUUAUAUAUACUAAUAAAAGAUGUAUCUACCCCAAAAAUUAUGAGCUGUAUAAACUAACAAAAAGAAACAUACAAAUAACAACUGAGUGGCUCAAUUUGGUAAUUCAAUGGCUCUGAAGCGGCUCAACAUAGCUACUAUCUGAUAAGAAAAAGGGAGAUGAAAUAUAUGAAUUUGUAACUCAGUGAGUGGAUUAUUUUGUAAACAAAUAUACGUUUUCUAUUUACGCUAACUUUCUAAAAACUAGUUUAUAAUAAAAAUAUCAUUACACGAUACUUUAAGCUAAAAUCCUUAUUCUUUAAACUGAAUAAGCUAAAUCUGUAUUUUGAAAUUUGAUAAGCUGUAUAAUAUUUAAAAAUCACACCAAAAAGUACCCGAAAUAACUAUACUAAUGUAUCGAUUAGCGCCAAUAGACAUGACAAAGCUAUUCAAUUCUGAAACUCUGUAAUUAUGAAAUUCUGGUCAUAUACGCGUAGAGCUAUCUGGUCGUACGCUGUGGAAAUACAUUCACACCAGUUUAGAGUGGGUAAAAUCACCUGGGUACUUUCUGGUGGUUUUUAGAAAAUAACUUUAUAUAUGUUGAACUAUUUAAUACUGAAAUAAUAUGUCAAUGAAAUGAUUUAACUGACCAGAAUUUAACUUUAAAAAUAAUUGUUUAUAAAUCAACUUUAUUAUAAAAAUCGUGUUGUCAAAUCAACUUUAUGAAUUAAUAAAUUUUCUGAUUUAAUAAAAUCUUUAUAAAUACUAAUUUCUGAAUAAGUUUAUAUCCACUCACACAAUACGAGUUAUAUACUAUGGCAAUCAAUAAGUUUUUCCAAUUUAUUCGUCAUCACCUGAAAUACGUUACAAAAUAACUAAUAUAACCACUAUUAAAAAUCAAGAAACAUUUUAUCUCUAAUAAUAUAAUACUUAAACUAAAUUUCUUGAGACUUGCGAAAUUUUCCUAAAUUUCAUUUAAUCAAUUGAGGCUAAUUUUAAUUUCUAAUACCUUCACACGUGGGUACUUUAACCAAAUUUACCGUCAUUCCAAUCAUAACAAUAUUUAUCCUUUUCAUUCUAGUGAAAAACUACCAAUCACACUACAACCAAAUUAAUAUAUCUAUUGUUUCCCCAAAAUCAUUCUUCCAAGUGAAUAAUUCCAUUAAUGUGAUCAUUUCCACAAAUAAUCCUUACAAAAUCAUCAAAUUUAAAAACUAUGGUUUGCCAAAAAAAAAUAAAAAAUAAAUUGAUAUCUCCUUACCUUAGUGCAGAUGGAAAUUAAAAAAUUAAUAACUUGAGCUCCAAGUAAUAUUCAUCUCAAAAAUCUGAAAAUUUAACUACAAGUUAAACCCUAGUAACUUAACAUAAAAUUUCUCUACCUCUUCAAGAGAAUAAAGGUUCAACAUUUAACUACCUCAUUCCUUCUUCUUCUUUUUCUCCUUUUCUUCCCUCUUUUCUUUCCCUUUUUCUCGCAGCUUCUGGCCGUUUCUAGUUCCUCUUUGUGUGUUGAAAUGAAAAAAUGGUUUAUUUGUAUAUAAUAAGCGGCCACUAUUCCCAAAUUGCAAAGAAAGUCCUCCAUGUUCCAUUUAUAAUAACAUUUAGUCCUUCUAACUUCUAUUAGUAUAAAAGUAAAUCCUAGACUUUAAAUUUUAUCCACCUUAAACCUUCCAAUUAUUUUUCAAUACAAAUUAAACCCCAAUAAAUAAUUUAUUUUAUUUUAGUUCCUAUUUGACUUUGGCUUUGAUGAGUCAAUCUUUGAAUUUUGAUUACAUAAAAUUGGGUUGUAACAAUCUUACCUCUUUAAAAGAAUUUCGUCCUCGAAAUUCAACUGGCAUCUGAUUAGGUAACGAAUAGAUGAGGAUGUUGAACGCGCAUAUGAUCCUCAUGCUCCCAGGUUGCCUCUUCUAUCUUCUGAUUCUAUCAAAGCACCUUUACGAGUGCAAUUGUCUUGUUCUGCUGAAUUUGCACCUUUCUGUCUAGAAUUCUCAUUGGCUCCUCUGUAUAAGUCAAUUUCUCCUUCAAGUAAACUGGACGAGACUCUAGAACAUGAGAAGGAUCUGCAAUGUACUUGCGGAGCAUGGAGACAUGAAAAAUAUCAUGGAUUCUAGAUAAUUCAGUUGGCAAAUCUAAUCGAUAUGUAACUGGAUCAAUCCGCUCAAUAAUCUCAUAUGGUCCAAUGUAUCGUGGACUCAAUUUUCCUCACUUGCCAAAUCUCAAAAUUCCUUUCCAAGGCAACAAUUUUAGAAAUACUUUGUCUCCAACUGCGAAUUCCAGAUCUUUUCUACGCCUAUCUGCAAAACUUUUCUGUCUAUCUUGUGUUGCUUUCAAAUUUUCUCUGAUCAAUUUCACAUUUUCUAAAGUUAUUUGAACCAAUUCAGGGCCUACUAAUUUCCUCUUACUAGCUUCAUCUCAGCAAACUGAUGUUCUGCACUUUCUAUCAUAUAAAGCUUCAAAAUGAGCCAUUUCUAUACUCGAGUGUUAACUGUUUUUGUAAGCAAACUCCAUCAACGACAAAUGUGGAUCCCAGCUACCUCUGAACUCUAAAACACAAGCCCUCAACAUAUCCUCAAGAGUCUGUAUGGUCCUCUCGACUGACCAUCUGUCUGAAAAUGAAAACAUGUACUAAAAUGUAGUUUAGUACCCAUGACUUCCUGUAAACCAAGCCAAAAUUUAAAUUUAAAUUUAAAACGAGGGUCUCUGUCAGACACAAUAAAUAAUAGAGUGCCAUAUAAGCUCACUAUCUCGUCCACAUACAACUUUGCCAACUUAUUUAAAGUUUAAGUGGCUUUAAUUGGCAAAAACCUGGCAGACUUGGUCAAAUGAUCCACAAUAACCCAAACAUCAUCAUGAUCAUUAUGGGUACGAGGAAGACCAAAUAAAAAGUCCAUAGUAAUGUGCUCCCAUUUUCACUCUAGAAUAGGCAAUGGCUGUAAAAGUCCUGCUGUUUUCUGAUGAAUUGGCUUUACCUGCUGACAGAUAAGACAUUUGGAUACAAAAUCUGCUAUCUCUCUCUUCAUUCCAAGCCACCAGUAAUGAUCUUUUAAUGUAUGAUACAUUUUAAUACUACUUGGAUGCAUAGCAUAAGUAGAACUGUGUGCCUCUUCCAGAAUCUCUUUCUUUAAUUCGAGAAUAUUUGGAACUCAUAAUCUAUUACCCAUAGCCAAUGCGCCAUCAUCUCUAAUCACAUAAUCCUUUCUUAGCCUACCACUGACUUCUACUUUCAAUGUUUUCAAUGUCGGGUCUUGUGAUUGAGCUUUUUUAACCUUAUUAAUUAAAGUAGGCCUUACCUGAAAAUGAGCUAAUAAUGCCCCAGAAGUAGUAAUUUACAGCAGAGUAUUCAACUUCUUGAACUCACCAAUCAAGGAAGCAUAUACUGCACUAGAUGGAGAGAAAGAAUCAGUCUUUCUACUAAGAGCAUCUGCAACUAUAUUAGCUUUCCCCGAAUGGUAAUCAAUCUUACAAUCAUAAUCCUUUAUCAAUUCCAACCAUCUUCUGCCUCAGAUUCAGUUCUUUCCGAUCAAAGAUAUACUUUAGACUUUUAUGGUAGCUAAAUAUUUGACAUUUCUCACCAUAAAGAUAAUGCAUCCAAAUCUUUAAUGCCAACACUACUGCAGCUAACUCCAAAUCAUGAGUUGGGUAUUUUGACUCAUGCUUCUUCAAUUGUCUAGAAGCAUAAGCUACAACUAUCACAUUCUGCAUUAGAACGCAACCCAAUCCUAAUCGUGAAGCAUCACUACAAAUCACAAACUCUUCACCUGGAGAUGGAAGAGUAAGUAUAGGAGCUCAAACUAAUUUUCUCUUCAACUCUUGAAAACUCUUUUCACAUUCUUCAGUCCACACAAACCUGAUUUUCUUUCGAGUCAAACUAGUCAGAGGAAGAGCCAUUUUGGAAAAAUCCUCUACGAACCGAUGAUAAUAACAUUCUAGCCCAAGAAAACUCCGUACUUCUGUAACAUUAAUAAGGCGUUCCCAUUUUAUUACUGCUUCAAUUUUCUAAGGUCUACUAAUUACCUUCUACUGAGAUAACAUGACCUAGAAAUACAACUUUAUCUGGCUAAAAUUCACAUUUGCUAAACUUAGCAUACAACUGCUUAUCUCGCAAAGUCUGUAAAAUAAUCCUCAAAUGCUUGGCAUGCUCAUCACGAUUGCAAGAAUAAACCAAUAUAUCAUCAAUAAAAACAAUCACAAAUCUAUCUAAAUAUGGGUGAAGCACCCUAUUCGUGUUUAGGCUAAAGAAAAAUUCUUUCUGACAUCGGUCAAAUAUAUCAUUUGGCGUUCAAGAUUAUUUUAAUCUAAAGAAAGAGCCUUUUUUACACCAACCAAAUAUUCCAUUUGAAGUUUGAGCUAACUGUGAUUUAGCUCCUAUUUGUCUGUCAUUAUAAGUGAAAAUGAAUUUUGAAAUAAUUUAAUUUUUAAGAAUGUUAGGUUAAAAGUAAUAAAAAAAAAAUUUACUUAAAAAAAAUAUUUUAUCGUGAAAAUGCAGAAUUGAAAAAGAGUUUGAAAAUAAAAAUUUAAAAUAAUUGUUCUUGACAUGUUAUGAUAACACAUAAAGCCAUGGAUCUAUUUCCAAGUCAAGUUCAAUGCAUUUGAGGAGUCAAAAAACUACAACGAUGAACAACUUGAAACUAAAAAGUAUCUUGUGCUCUAUUAUUGAUAUAAAAGCAAAGCGCACAUUCCCAAGGUCAAGUAAGGCGGCGUGUUAUAUUAGUAAAUAUAUUAAUUGAUAAAGUUUUAGAGUAAUUAUGAAUAAUAAAAACGAUCAAUAAUUGCCUUACUUAGUAUGCAUUAAAUCACAAAUCAUUACAUAUAUAUUACGUAAGACGAUUAUCGAUAAUUUUUACUACCAAUAAAAUUACUCUAAAUUUUAUUCAAUACCACCAAUAGCAAGAAUUAAUUAGUACGACAACUGUAUAACAUUAAUGAUAGACUCAUUUAAAUACAAUACCAUGUAAUUUGUUUAAUUGAACAUAUCAAAUGCGGUGCAUCAUUAGUACUAGAUAAUAUCAUUUUUCUCAUCAUCACAUUCUUUUGCUCUUUCCUCUUCUCGAAUUUUUCCUAAAGCUUUUUAAAGAUUUAACAAUUUUCUCCAUUUUCGCCUCCUUUUUUGCUUCUCCUUUAACUUCAAUUCCAGCCUUUGCCUUCUUAUUAAUGUUCUCUUCAUUAGCCUCAGCCUUUUUUCUCUUAAGCAAAUCAACCACACCUUCAAGUGCUGGUUCAGCAUUCUCAUUUCUCAUCAAGUGUUCUGCAAUUUCAGCUGGAGUGACUUGUACUUCCUGGAUUAGGUCCUUUAUCUCGGGAAAAAGCCUCGGAUGAUCAUGGAUUGCCAAAUAAUUCAAUGCCAGGACGUCGAAUCCAGCAGGCGUGCAGUAAGACAUGUGAAUGUGCAUGUCCAUUCGACCGGGACGUAACAAGGCAGGAUCGAUCUUCU